CCAUGUCGUCCCUGACACGGCGUUCACAAAGCUGUUCAGUUGUGCUUUCAUGCUGGUGGGCUUUGGAUUUGUCGGUGUCCUGCUUAACGGCAUGAUCACCUACAUCUGCGACUGGCAAGAGGCGGUUUUGCUGAGCACUGCGGGUCAAAACAAGUAAAAUGGGAUGUUCAGGACUUAUAUGAUCGACAGAGAGAAGGGAAGGAUGAGAAUUAGGACGAAAGUGUGCGUGGCUUUGGCGGUUGUGAUUAGUUGCACAGCUAUAGGGACUAUCGUCGUGCAUUUCAUGGAGGACUUGAGCUGGGUAGACAUUUUUUAUCUGUCCGUUACAUCCGACAGCCGGUACGCAUUCACGGCCUUGGCAGGAAGACGUUUCGCCAGAAUUUGGCUAGUGAUAAGCACAUUGGCAGUGGCCGGGGCGACCGAGCUGAGGAUCGACCAGAGGAAUCGUAGAAUCGCGAAAUGGGUUCUGCAGAAGAAGAUGACCCCUGGGAUCUAGUUGCUGCAGACCUUGAUAACGAUGGAUCCAUCAGGUGAUUGUUUCUGCUUGGUCUGUGAGCCUCCGCUAGAUUUGUGCAAUUCCCAUUUUUUUUUUCCUGAAACUUUGCUAAGUUGACUAGUAACUCCUGUCAUUAUCUAGACAACUAUCAACACAUUGCUGCUAUUGGAUAAACAUUAGAACAAUAGACAUCAUUGGAACAAAAAGAUUCGGAAGAAAAUUUCAGAACUGACGCCUUAGGAGAUUCUCUUCUCCACAUUUGUGCACCCGAUAGAUAUAAAAGAACCAAGAAACGAGCUUCUCUUUUCCUUUAGUCCAAUAUGUAAUGCCAUUCUUAAACUUUUAAUAUAUUUAAUACAGUCUUUAGACAUUUUGUAUAUAUUUAGCUUAGUUCUUAAAUUGAAUGAAAAUGUUCUAUGUUAUCAUUCCAUUAAUUUAAGUGCGGGAACGGCAUUGAACAUUUACAUAUAGUCUAAGGACCACGUAUCGAAAGUUUGAGGAUUAUGUUGAACAAAUUGAAAAUGCAGAGACGAUAUUACUCAUUGGGUUAAAAUAAGGGAUUACAUAAGACAUUGAGUCAAAGUUAAGGGACUAUUUGUGUCAUUUUCCUUUUACUUUUCCAGGCUCCCAGCAAAUCUGAGUUUAGGAUCCAUAUGGUCAUUGAUUAUAUGUUAAAAAGAAAAAAAAAAAGACUUCGUUAAAUGGAAAGAUUGAGAAGAAGAUAACGGGGAAAAAGGAGGACCAUAAUAAUAUUAAUUGAGAACAAUUAUGUCGUCAAUUAGAAAGUUAUAUACAGAAUUCUUGACCAGCAUGGUGCUGUAAGUGACUCUAUUUCUUGGAUAUCUAUUAAAAGUGAGGAAGAAAAAAUGAAAUUAAGCACAGAGGAACUUACAGCACCAGAAGCCAACAAAGAACUCAUCUACGGCUAGAUUAAAUGAAAACAACUAGGAAUAGCACUUUCAUUGCGCAACACAAAAUUAUGUACAGUUGGCCAUUCUCUUGAGAAUGGUAAUAUAUUUAUGAUUAAUACUACUUAUAUUAUAGAUCAUAUAUAUAUAUAUAUAUAUAUUUUAAAUAUAUGAUAAGACAGUGAUCUUAAACUUUUAAUCAAGCGAGUAAUACGAUAAAUAUGUCGAACAUUUGGCGUUAGGAGAAGAGAUGGAUUGAAUUGAGAUAAAAAAGAAGAAGUAAAUCGCAGAAAAAAAAAGGCGUAGUAUUAGUGUCAUUUUUCCUAUAUGUGAAAAUAAAAAUCGGGCAGAUUUUUUCUACUCGGAGUAGAGCAUAAGCCUAAAAUAAUUGAAAAAAGGCUCAUUAAAGAACUAGAAAAUGACAUUGUGAUUUGGAUUGGGUCUCAAUGAAAUAAAACAUGAAUGAUAAGUUAAUUUCGUAAGUUUAACGGAUUUUUGGCGGAAGGAAGGAAAAAAAAGAUUUAAAAAAAAAUAAUAAUAAAAGGGAUAGCGAUUAGGGUUGUUCUCCCGAGCCCUCCCCUCUCGCGCCUCCGAGCUCUCCCCUCUCGCCUCCUCUCCUCUUCGGACGAGCUCUCUCUCUCUGUCGACGAUGAAGCUUUCCAAGAGCCUGGCCAUGACUGCCAAGAUGCGCCCAGCGAUUCGUCCUGUGCUGAGGCCAGUGGCUCGUUCGGGGUAAGUCUCGAACCUAAAGUCCCGAUUCGCGAUCCCUCUCUUCUUCGAUCGGUUGAAUGAACCCCUAGGGUCUCGAUUAGCGAACUCUUUCUUCUGUAUCGGGAAUGGAUGACGGUUUUAUGGAAUCGCCGCGAUGUUGCUGAGAUAGAUUCCUUUCUGCAUUUGGCUUGGCUGUAUAGAAUGUUUAAGACCUCAAAGCGCUCUGGCGGGAAUGAACCCUAGGGUCUCAAUUAGCGAACUCUUUCUUCUGUAUCGGGAAUGGAUGACGGUUUUAUUGAAUCGCCGCAAUGUUGCUGAGAUAGAUUCCUUUCUGCAUUUGGUUUGGCUGUAUAGAAUGUUUAAGACCUCAAAGCGCUCUGGCAGCGGCAGCAGCAGCGGCGGCGGCACUGGCGGCACUGGGGGCUCUGGGAGCUCUGGGAGCUCUAGUAGCUCUGGCCCCUCUUGGGGCUCUAGCAGCUCUGGCAGCUCUAGCAGCUCUAGCAGCUCUGGCAGCCGUGGAAGCUCUGGGAGCGAUUGGAAUCCGAAUCGAGAAUUCGCAUUUGACAUUUUUGUGUGAGUGCGCUAUAUGAAGUAGAUUUUUUUCCGUUUUAAUUGUUAGUCGCGGUUGUUCUUACCAAUUAAUGCAUGACAGGGAUGAAUUCAAGAGGACCAAGCAGUGCAAAUCUAUGGUGAAAAAAAUGGUGAAAAAAAUGGUGAAAAAAUCUGCAAGUGAGAAAUGGUCGGCUCUGUCUGAGGAGGUAAGAUACGCAUCAUUAGCUCCUAGCUCCACAAAUAGAUGCAUUCUGAUUCGGCCCUCCCUCUCUUCACACAGGAGAAAGAGUGGUACGACGAGAAAGUCGUGCAAAGGAAUUUGGAAUUCGAACAAUGUAUCCAAGUUUAUUUGAAAUUGAUGAAGGUAAAUUUUCUUAUUGUUCCUUUUAAAGAAACCUCGGAUAAAUGGCUAAAUGUAAUGUUUCAUCUGUGCUAGGAUUUGGGCCAGGAGCAUGAAGAGUCUUCAAUGUAGGAGGAGGAGGAGGAGGAGGUUUACCAGGGAGUUCUGUAAAUAAAUUCUGAGUAAACUCUAAGACAUCUAUUUUCUGAGUAAAAAUUUGCUGAUGAUAGUACGUCCAAGGCUUAUGUUCUGUUUUGGCUGUUAACAUCCCCAUGGGAAAAUUUUGUGGAACUUCCGGUCCUUCCCAUGCUAAAGGGUGACGCCAUUCGUUUUGCUUGUUUAUCGACUUUAUGUUCAAGAUGAUUGAGCAAUCUGUACUGACAAAUGAACUACGUAGGAUGAAGCCACUUACCCUACUUCAGAAGGGCAUUAGCUUUUGAAUAGUGUGCUCUAGCAUACAGAGGAGGCACAGAUGUGAAGAUGUGUGCUCAUGGUCAUCUUUGGUAUGUUAAUACUGAGAAAAGACCAAAUCACUUUCGGUCUCCCAUAUUAUUUAAUGAUGUGCUAGUACUAUACCAAGUAGGAAUGAGAAACCUAGUGAUCCGGCUUCGACCGGACAUUUUAGACAGUUAAAUUCCAAUGCCUCACUUGUUGAUAAAAGGAAUGCUGGAUUUCAAUAACGGCAUCCAAGGGGGCAUUUUUCUUCAUAAGAGUUCGAAGGCCACUGGUUUGAUAGGGCCGAUAAUGUUGACUCCGUAUCUUAAAAAACUCGUUCUAAUGUGAUCUCAAAGGUGGCUCCAUGUGUCGUCGGUCGUCUCCCUCUGCUAUGCUUUGCUGGCUUUAAUUUGGUGUUCUUGAGCAUGUUUCUGUCAAUUCUGUCGUACUAUUUUCUCAUGUACUUUACAUCUGCACCGCAAGUUGCACUGGAUUUCUUCUGGCUUUCAUUACCCAGAUUACAUUCUUUCUUCUUCUUUUCUAUACCGCGAUGCGGCCAUUUUUUAUGAGCAUCGGGAUAAUGUGUUUCUAUUACAGAGCUUAUUUCUGCAUGCUAAAUGUACAGCUCAAGUUAUGUCUUUUCCUAUCCCCUAGUCUAAUCGCUAGGUUCGCUGUAAUGGCUAUUCGGAAUUUGGAUUCACUCCUAACAGGCUAUCGGCUUUACUCCAGAAAAUUCCAUUCUGAAGAGUGUAAGUGAUUCGCAAUUUUACUUCUUGAGGCGCUUACUCUCGAUAUUUGAAGUCCAUUGCAAUGCCUGUGCCAUGAGAGGAGAAUUGCAGAUGCUUCUUUUUUUAAAACUAAUUCCAUGACUACUGUAUUCUCCUAGUGUACUGAUGGCAGUUGAGAGUGAUGAAUAGUGUGAGAUUAAUGUAGGUCCUCUGUACGAAAAGCAAACCAAAUUGCGAUGCCUGUCCCAUGAGAGAGAAUUGAGACACCGUGCAAUAAUUAGAAUCGGAUGGAGAAAGUCCAAGUUAAAUUUUCUAGAUUUAAUAUCUUCCUUACACACGAACUAGGCAGGUGCAUCUAUUUCUGGUACUGUUGGGCCAUUUGAUUUAUCCUGAUUACCACUUUAUAGUGCUUGAAAUGUAGAAUAUUAACAGGGUAGGAGGGGCAAAGUGGCAGCAAAACAUGGGAUAGAGAAUUCUAUUUUCUUGUCAAUUUCAUACCAAAUAAUGCACAGCAUAAAUUUCAUAAAGCAGGAAACAGAAUUGGGGCAUCAUCAUCCGUAUUUCCAAAACGGUUACAUAAUUUGAGCUUCGUCAUUCAUCUUUGGACUUUUAAACAACUCAAGAAGCUGACUGAGAAUGAGAGCAGCUAUUUCAUCAAAGCUACGAGGACUGAUUGCUGCGGAGAAUUUACUUAGCCAUUUUCAACAAAUUUUAUGAGGAUUAUGGUAUUGGCCAUCAACAAAUUCUAUGAAGAUUAUGGUAUUUGGCAUUUCUUGACGGUUUCGUAUUCUUCUCUUCUCGACAAAAUGCAAGAUGUGUAACUGAAAUGUCGAAUAGAUAAAUAAAAUGACAAAAAGGAUAAAAAGAUAUAGAAUCUUCUGAGACUUGUUAAUUGAGUGGAUUGGUAUUAGACUUCUUAAUUGAGUAGAUUAGUGUUUUUCGUCUCCUAGUUUCACUUUGAAAAUUCCUAAUUAAAAUGAAUACUUUGCUAAUAAAUGAAAUAAUAAAAAAGAUCAAUUUUUUUUUUUUUAGUUUAAAUUCAAUGAGCCAAAUGUUCCCGUCCUGUUUUUCUAAUUGUAGAAUAGAUAUUAAUUAACAAAACGACUGAAAAAUUGGAACGUUAUCAAAUGGAGUUUUGGAGAUGCAAAUAUUGCGAACCUGCCAAAGUGCUCGAUUUUGCCCGCGCGAGGAGGCGUGUAAAAUUCAGUUCGGGCGCUCCAGACGGCGAGCGCCUGCCGGUUCUCCACGCCAUCACCCCCGCCGAACCGAGGCGAUCCAUUUCUCCAGAUCCUCGGAGCAGUGCUCGUCUCGAAUGCCACCGCGUUGCUACGGCGGCGACUCUCCUCCUCAUUCUUCAAGGCCUCCCGUUCUCCCCGCAGCUUCGCUCCGUCCCUCUUCUUCGCUCUUCCUCUUUCCGGUUAAAUUUUCCCGAUCCUCUCCUUAUAGAGCUAAAGCUUCUCCAUGACCUCGACGGAUGCCAGAGAUUUCGUAUAUCGUGCCUUUUAAGUUUCGUUGUUUUUAUUUUCUUUUGUUUUGAUUGUGUCGGUGUCGACUCUGCUGGCCUGGAACAGCCGGGCUUGGACUUCGCGUUGGCCGCAUUACCUGGAUUUGGAAGGAUCGCGCCAUGAACUAAUUCUAGGAAACCCAAUCUGGCGCGCAUGCCUUUUCUACGACGCUUGCACAAUAGCCUGUUCGCCAUUACGCGAUGGUGAGAACUGAUAUUCGAUCUUUGAAUUGAAGAAUCGCCCCCGGCUUUGCGGGAAUUCGUGCUGGCGAAGGCAGCAUGCUGGGCGAGGAUCUCUGGACCGAUGGGCUCGUUUGUGCCUUGGAGUUUAGACGGGCAGGAGGAGAACGAAGGAGCGCGAGUCUGGAUGUCAACACAGUGUUGCAUGCCACGGCCAGGAUGACGGAAACAGUGCCGCGGCCAUGCUCUAGAAGAAUUUCGAGGGGGUCAUCGGGUGCCAAUUGGCUGGCUUAGAAUACACCAACUCAUUGACUUUGGGGAUAGCGAGGAUGAUGUCGCAAUUGCGGACACAGCAACUCCAUGCUAGGAGCGGCCAGUGGGCCCCACUUGGUGGUGCCAUGUAGCGGCAGAUCACCCAUUCGUCCAAUCAUGGUUGAGCAAUGCACAGUGGCUACAUCCUGCCAUAAGUAUUUCUCUGCGCGAUGAAAGUAGGCUGAUGAGUGAACGAACGAAGCACCUACUCUAUGAGGCAAUCAAAAUGUGUAAUGGUCGACAUAUCCUUUCGUGGCCGGUUUUUAUAAAUUAAAAGAGAUUAUUUUCGUUUGAAGUUUCGAUAUUCUUAAGAUGUCUGCUUACUGUCUCUCAAAUUAGAUUGAUUUAAGAUGGGUUUUACUUGCAUUUGACUUGGCUCAAUGCCUUUCAUACUCUUGGUUUUCCUGCCUUUCGACCCUCUCGACAAAGAGUCACCGAAUGGACAUCUUUCUUAGGUCCGUGAUACACCUGUGACUGAACAUCUGAGCCAGUAAACUUCCUUUUCUGUUCAAGUAUCCCUUUCUUCAUCGUAGUUUGUUCUCUUGGUGCUCAGUUUGCUGCUGACAUUGCUGUGAGUGUAAGCAGGAAGAAGAUAGCUGUAAAUGCCAGUCUACUAUAAUCACCAAAUAGACAAUCCAAUGCCACAAGAGUCUAGUAAACCUAUUUUCCACCUCUAAUAGAUCCUUGUGGAAUGAGCAAGUACAAAAAAAUUGGUGUGGUACAGAAUUUCCGAUCCUGUUUUGAGAUAAUGUAGUAAAAGAUUGGUCGUUAGGCUGCCAAGAUUAUAAUCGGGGUCAGUCUUGCCUAGGUUAGUGUGAACACUCAAACAUGUUAAGGCAAAGUUUCUAUCGUAGUAGAAAGAGACUGGAAAUUCUGAUCUCAUCAAGGUUUUAGUACAGCCUAGGUGGAAUGUCAAUUUCUCAAUGAGUUUCAUAUGUCACUACAAUUUUGAAGAAUAAUGACUCGGGUCAAGAUUGACGAGGUAGUAGACCACUGAUCAUAAAAACUUAGUGUCAUGGGAACAAGUACAUACAGACUCGUUGUUUCUUUCCACCUUCUCUGCUACAUAAUUUGGGAAGCCUCAAAUGUAUGGUGUACUCUAAUUUUGAAUUCAUUUCCUUACAGGUUCCAGCUAGAGUUGCUGGUGGCCUUCCAUUUGAGAUGUCGGGGUAGUCGGCUCGUGAUCCAUCAUGCACUGAUGAAGAUGAUAUACCCAUUGUUUUACGGUCAUGGCAAGCUAAAAAAUUUUUAACUUGCGUCACUGCACAUCAGAGGUUCUGCCACCGUUAUUAACAUCUUAGGUGUUUUGGAAGUUCAAGUUUGUCCGUCAGAUUUGUAAGUUUUGUUUUUAUUUUCUUUCUUUUCUGGAAUAUAUCUUCCAUUAAGCAUUUUUUUCCCCAAAAGCACCACUAGUUUUCUUGUCAUUCUUUAUGUAAGGAACCGCUUGUUGCUGGAGGUUCUAACAUCCCACAAAGCAUUCAUGAGGUUUUGGCACAUCUUGCCGGUCGCUUGCCACGAUGGAUGACACGUGUGUAUACUUUUCGCCCGAUCUAUACUUGCAAUGCUUAUUGACCGAUGGCAGUGUUUGCUGUCAACAAAUAAGGUGAAUCUUGAUGCCCGCCUCAUGAAGGUCUGAUCUCCUUCUACCUCAAAAAAAAAUGCUGCAAUUGAUUGAUUGGCUUGUGGACAUGGGUUCUAGGAGUGUGUUGGCUUGUCGCCAUUUUAGGUUAUUAGAGUGAAAUGGUCACUUCAUGCGAGAGAGGAAAUAGUAUCUGAGCGUGCAUGGACCUUGCUGGAAAGCAUACAAAAGAGCACAAGGGAAAUGAUUGAGGAACAAGAAGCAGUCCGGGGCGGGCUUUUUUCGAUCCAAGAUGUCAUGUGGAUUACAGUUCGUGGGUGGUUACAGAUUUUCCUACAGUUACAACAUCUUUUAGCCUUUUCUCUUUUGAAUUUUAUGAGCUAUGACAUGAAGGUAUCGAGCAUAUAAUGAGCCAUGUCAUUGAUAAGAUCUCUGUUUUCGGUUAUUUAUAAGUUAGCAUUAGUUUUGUAGAUUGGUAGGUACGAUUAGUAGUUGUGAUACUUGGUGGUAGUGACAUUUGAAAUUGCAACAACUAACUUAGAGGUUUUCUAACUAUAACUCCUUCUAGAAUCAUUCAUGUCGACUAGCAUUGUCAGAUCACUGGUGAACCUUUAUAUAUAAAACAAUGAUGCAGUUAGUCUUAUAAUAUGCUCGGUACUCAUUUUAGUCUAUUUUUUUUUUUGUAUGGAUUAGUGCGGUGGAAGUGUUGUGAAAGUAUGAUAUGUUGCUUGUUCUCAUUCUUAUAUGUAAGGUGUUUGCUCACAUUUUCCUAUUUUUAAUACUAGGAUAAGAGCCUCACUGUUACACACAAGCUAGGAGUUUUUGGAGGGUGUGGUCUUGUCCUAUCUAUCAUCACUGGACCUUUUGGAAUCAAUGUCGGCGGAAUUCCAAGAUUAGAUGAGUCGCCAUAUGUACUUUCUCUAUUUUCUUGCUUCCUGCCCUUUCUGGGAGCUACAUUGAUCGCACUUGGUCUCUUUUACCUUGGCUUAGAGCACCCCAUUGUUGAAGAGAAUGUUGAGGUUAGAAAGUUGGAGCAUCAGGAGCUGGUUCAUAAGUUUCAGCAUGAAGCGGAAUCUCACGCCAAAGUUUGCGAAAAUGUCCCUUGAAAAAAUGUACCUCUUACUGUUGCAGAUCUACUCCCAAAUGGUGCGGGUUAAACCCUCCUCAGCUGAAAACAUAACAUCAAAGUAUGCCCAAUGUGCGGAUGAUCUAUUGCUGCUUCAUGAGAUAUCGAAUAUGUCUAUGCAAUUCACAGCCUUGAUCUUUAGCCAUCAACUAAAUCUUUGCACUGAAGUUCGUUCUUGGUUGAACAUGGUCAUCGCAUAUGAAAGGUCGCUUGUGCAUAUGCAAAAAUCAGCUUGAGCUCCGUGGCCUCUAGCAUUCUUCGGUACAUAAAUUUGUAGUUAUGGUGAGUGCCAAUCUAUUCUUUUGCACAUACCAACGGCUCAUAGUCUUUUAGUCCGGAUCUAGUGCACGAUUGCGGGGUUAAAUUGUUAGUAAUAUGACAAAGUAAAAAAACAAUUGGUGCGGUACAGAAUUUCCAGUCUUGUUUUGAGAUAAUGUAGUAAAAGAUUGGUCGUUAGGUGCCAAGAUUACAAUCUGAGUCAAUCUUGCCCAUGUUAAUGCGAGCAUUCAAACAUGUCAAGGCAAAGCUUUUAUCGCAGUGGAAAUAGACCGGAAAUUAUGACCUAAUCAAGGUACCAGUACAGCCCAGGUGGAAUGUCAAUUUCUCAGUGAGUUUCAUACGUCACUACAUUUUGAAGAAUAAAUGACGCAGGGGUCAAGAUUGACUAGGUAGUAGAUCACAUAUCAUAGAGACUUAGUGUCAUGAGAACAAGUACAUACAUAAGCGCUGUUUCUUUCCACCUUCUCUGCUACAUAAUUUGCUAAGCGUCAAAUGUAUGGUGUACUCUAAUUUUGAUUUCAUUUCCUUACAGGUUCUAGUUAGAGUCUCUGGUGGCCUUCUAUUUGAGAUGUCAGGGUAGUCGGCUGGUGAUCCAUCAUGCGCCGAUGAAGAUGAUAUACCCAUUGUUUUACGGUCAUGGUAGGCUCAAAUUUUUUUACUAGCGUCACUACACAUCAGAGGGUCUGCCGCCGUUAUUAACAUUUAAGGUAUUUUGGAAGUUCAGGUUUGUCCGUUAGAUUUGUACAAUCUGAUUGUUUUUUUUUUUUUUUAAUUUCCUAGAAUAUAUCUUCCUUUAUCCAAUUUUUUUUCCCAAAAGGACCAUUAAUUUUCUUGUCAUUCUUUACGUAGGAACUGCUUGCUGCCGGAGGUUCUAACAUCCCACAAAGCAUUCAUGAGGUUGUGGCACAUCUUGCCUGUUGCUUGCCAUGGUGGAUGACACGUGUGUGUACUUUUCGUUCGAUCAAAACUUGCAAAUGCCUUAUUGACCGACAGCAGUGUUUGCUGUCAACAAAUAAGGUGAACUUUGAUGCCCGCCUCAUGAAGGUCUCCUUGGACCUCAAAUAGAAUGCUGCAAUUGAUUUAUUGGCUUGUGCACAUGGGUUCUUCGGAUGUUCACUGGCGAUGUUUGGAGUCAAACGGCAAACAUUCUAUGUACUGGAAGUAGCAAGUUUGCCACAUUUCUGUAAUAUGGCUACACAUAUGCUAAACACGUUCCCUUUUCUCCUCGUAAAUAGGAGAAGCCUCGAAGGCGUGCAUUUAUUUAUGAUGAUUUUAGAUCAAGAGAUCCAAAGGUUAUCAACCUAGGUACACUUCUAUUCUUCUAAUGGAAAAAUGCCUAGCCGAAUGAUCGUUAUCUAUAAGUGUGCUGGGUUGUCGCCGUUUUAGGUUAUUAGAGUGAAAUGGUCACUUCAUGCCUGGGAGGAAAUAAUAGUUGAGCUUCUUCAACACUUGAGAGGGAAUGCUGCAUCGACCUUGUCGGAAUGCAUACGAAAUAGCACAGGGGAAAUGAUUGGGGAACAAGAAGCAGUCCGGGGCGGGCUUUUUUCGAUCCAAGAUUCAUGCGGAUUAGAGUUCGUGCAUGCUUACAGAUUUUCCUACAGUUACGGUAUCUUUCAAUCUUUUCUCUUCUAAAUUCUAUGAGUUUUGACAUGCAGGUAUCGAGAAUAUAAUGAGCCAUGUCACUGAUAAAAUCUCUGUUUUUGGUUAUUUAUAAGAUGGCAUUAGUUUUGUAGAUUGGUGGGUACGAUUAGUAGUUGUGAUACUUGGUGGUAGUGGCAUUUCAAAUUGCAACAACUAACUUAGAGGUUUUCUAACUGUAACUCCUUCUAAAAUCAUUCAUGUCGACUAGCAUUGUCAUACCACUGGUGAACCUUUAUGUAUAAAACAAUGAUGCAAUUAGUCUUAUAAUAUGCUCGGUACUCAUUUUAGUCUUCUUUUUUUUUUUUGUAUGGAUUAGUGCGGUGGAAGUGUUGUGAAAGUAUGAUAUGUUGCUUGUUCUCAUUCUUAUAUGUAAGGUGUUUGCUCACAUUUUCCUAUUUUUAAUACUAGGAUAAGAGCCUCACUGUUACACACAAGCUAGGAGUUUUUGGAGGGUGUGGUCUUGUCCUAUCUAUCAUCAUUGGACCUUUUGGAAUCAAUGUUGGCAGAAUUCCAGGAUCAGAUGAGUUGCCAUAUGUACUUGCUCUAUUUUCUUGCUUCUUGCCCUUUCUGGGAGCCGCAUUGAUCGCAAUUGUUGAAGAGGAUGUUGAGGUUUGAAAGUUGGAGUUUCGGGAGCUACUUCAAAAGUUUUAGCAUGAAGUAGAAUCUCACGCCCAAGUUUGCGAAGAUGUCCCCUAAAUGAAUGUACCUCCUACUGCUGCAAAUCUACUCCAAAUGGUGCGUGUUAUACCCUCCUCAGCCGAAAACAUAACAUCAAAGUAUGCCCAAUGCGCGGAUGAUCUAUUGCUGCUCCAUGAGAUGUCGAAUAUGUUCGUGCAAUUCACAGCCCUGAUCUUUAGCCAUCAACUAAAUUUUUAGCAUUGAAGUUCGUUCUAGGUUGAACAUGGUCAUCGCAUAUGAAAGGUCGCUUGUACAUAUACAAAAAUUAGCAUGAGCUCCGUGGCCUCUAGCAUUCUUCGGUACAUAAAUUUGUAGUUAUGGUGAGUGCCAAUCUAUUCUUUUGCACAUACCAACGGCUUAUAGUCCUUUAGUCCGGAUCCAAUGCACGAUUGCAGAGUUAAAUCGUUAGUAGUAUGUUAAAGUAAAAAACAAUUGGUGCGGUACAUAAUUUCCAAUCCUGUUUUGAGAUAAUGUAGUAAAAAAUUGGUCGUUAGGCUGCCAAGAUUACAAUCUGGGUCAGUCUUGCCCAGGUUAAUGCGAACAUUCAAACAUGUUAAGGCAAAGCUUUUAUCGUAGUGGAAAUAGACCGGAAAUUAUGACCUAAUCAAGGUAUGAGUACAGCCCAAGUGGAAUGUCAAUUACUCAGUGAGUUUCAUAUGUCACUAAAGUUUUGAAGAAUAAUGACUCAAGGGUCAAGAUUGACCAGGUAGUAGACCACAUAUGAUAGAGACUUAGUGUCAUGGGAGCAAGUACAUACAUAAGAUUUGUCCGUAAGAUUUGUAAGUUCUGAUUGUUUUUUUAUUUAUUUAAUUUCCCGGAAUAUAUCUUCCUUUAUGCAUUUUUUUUUCCAAAAUGAUCACUAAUUUUCUUGUCAUUCUUUACGUAGGAACUACUUACUACCGGAGGUUGUAACAUCCCACAAAGCAUUCAUAAGGUUGUGGGACAUCUUGCCUGUCGCUUACCACGGUGGGCGACACGUGUGUGUACUUUUCGUCCAAUCUAAACUUGCAAAUGCCUUAUUGACCGACAACAUUGUUUGCUGUCAACAAAUAAGGUGAACUUUGAUGCCCGCCUCAUGAAGGUCUCCUUCUACCUAAAAAAGAAGGGCGUUUCCAAUUCAAUUUACAAUUUGGCUUGUGCGCAUAAGUUCUCUGGAUGUUCACUGGCAAUGUUUGGAGUCAAACUCCAAACAUUCUACGUACUGGAAAUAGCAAGUUUGCCACAUUUCUAUAACAUGGCUACCCAUUCGUUCUGUUGACUUCCUCGUAAAAAAGGAGGAGAGUUAAAUCAAGCAAGCGAUGUAGGUGUGACUUUGCUACUUUGGCUAUUCAUGCAACAGAGUGCCCAGUUUUUUGGUUCCAUAGGUUCUGGUUAUAGUACUGUAGAUCCUCCUAUUAUCUUUUUCGAGUCCCAAAACUUGAGAUACAUCAGGUUAUGCACUUGAUCAUUUCAUUCCCAUUUGAUGUUUUACCCUUCUAAUGUUGGAAAUUAGCAUGUGUUAAUCGGGUUUUGACAAUACUGUAAUCAAAUAUAAUUUUUAUACUUCCACACAGCUUUAGUUUAGUUAACAGAAAACUUAUUACAUUGCAUCUGUCGUCAUUUUCUUGGUUUUCUGCUAAUUCAUUUUUCAUGUUGCUUUUCUAGAUUAUUCCACAAAAAUAUCUUUGGUGCAAUUGAUGAAAUUCAAUUCAUGUUUAUGAACAUGUGCUCCUUAUGCCGCCAUCUUUUGUUAGAAGAAAAAGUAAUUUAAUGCAUAUUAUAUGCAUGACACAUAUGCUAAACACGUUCCCUUUUCUCCUCAUGGAUAGGAGAAGUCUCGAAGGCGUGCAUUUAUUUAUGAUGAUUUUAGAUCAACAGAUCCAAAGGUUAUCAACCUAGGUACACUUCUAUUCUUCUAAUGGAACAAUUGCUAGCCGAACGAUCGUUAUCUAUAAGUGCGCUUGGUUGUCGCCGUUUUAGGUUAUUAGAGUGAAAUGCUCACUUCAUGCGAGGGAGGAAAUAGUAUUUGAGCUUCUUCAACACUUGAGAGGGAAUGUUGCACGGACCUUGCCGGAAAGCAUACGAAAGAGCACAAGGGAAAUGAUUGAGGAACAAGAAGCAGUUCGGGGCAGGCUUUUUUCGAUCCAAGAUGUCAUGCGGAUUACAGUUCGUGCGUGGUUACAGGUUUUCCUACAGUUACGAUAUAUUUUAGCUUUUUCUCUUCUGAAUUUUAUGAGCUAUGACAUGCAGGUAUCGAGCAUUAAUGAGCCAUGUCGUUGAUAAGGUCUCCAUUUUCGGUUAUUUAUAAGUUAGUAUUAGUUUUGUGGAUUGGUGGGUACAAUUAGUAGUUGUGAUACUUGGUGGUAGUGGCAUUUGAAAUUGCAACAACUAACUUAGAGGUUUUCUAACUGUAACUCCUUCUAGAAUCAUUCAUGUCGACUAACAUUGUCAUACCACUGGCGAACCUUUAUAUAUAAAACAAUGAUACGGUUAGUCAUAUAAUAUGCCUGGUACUCAUUUUAGUCUAUUUUUUUGUAUGGAUUGGUGCGGUGGAAGUGUCGUGAAAGCAUGAUAUAUUGCUUGUUCUCAUUCUUAUAUGUAAGGUGUUUGCUCACAUUUUUCUAUUUUUAAUACUAGGAUAAGAGCCUCACUGUUACACACAAGCUAGGAGUUUUUGGAGGGUGUGGUCUUGUCCAAUCUAUGAUCAUUGGACCUUUUGGAAUCAAUGUCGUUGGAAUUCGAAGAUCAGAUGAGUCGCCGUAUGUACUUGCUCUAUUUUCUUGCUUCUUGCCCUUUCUGGGAGCCGCAUUGAUUGCAAUUGGUCUAUUUUACCUUGGCUUAGAGCAUCCCAUUGUUGAAGAGGAUGUUGAGGUUAGAAAGUUGGAGCUUCAGGAGCUGGUUCAAAAGUUUCAGCAUGAAGUAGAAUCUCACGCCCAAGUUUGCGAAAAUGUCCCCUGAAAGAAUGUACCUCCUACUACCGUAGAUCUACUCCCAAAUGGUGCGGGUUAUACCCUCCUCAGCCAAAAAUAUAACAUCAAAGUAUGCCCAAUGUGUGGAUGAUCUACUGUUGCUCCAUGAGAUGUCGAAUAAGUCUAUGCAAUUCACAGCCCUGAUCUUUAGCCAUCAACUAAAUCUUUGCACUGAAUUGGACAUGGUCAUUGCAUAUGAAAGGUAGCUUGUGCAUAUACAACAAUCAGCAUGGGCUCCGCGGCCAUUAGCAUUCUUCGGUACAUAAAUUUGUGGUUAUGGUGAGUGCCAAUCUAUUCUUUUGCACAUACCGAUGGCUUAUAGUCCUUUAGUUCGGAUCCAAUGCACGAUUGCAGGGUUAAACUGUUAGAAAUAUGUUAAAGUAAAAAAACAAUUGGUGCGGUGCAUAAUUCCAGUCCUGUUUUGAGAUAAUGUAGUAAGAGAUUGGUCGUUAAGCUGCCAAGAUUACAAUCUGGGUCAAUCUUGCCCAGGUUAAUGCGAACAUUCAAGCAUGUUAAGGCAAAGCUUUUAUCGCAGUGGAAAUAGACCGGAAAUUAUGGCCUAAUCAAUGUACAAGUACAGCCGAGGUGGAAUGUCAAUUUCUCAGUGAGUUUCAUCUGUCACUACAGUUUUGAAGAAUAAUGACUCAGGGGUCAAGAUUGACCAGGUAGUAGACCACUUAUCAUAGAGACUUAGGCUGCGUUUGGGAACAACUUUGCAAAGUCCUUUGGACGUCUAAAGCCCCUUGGGCGAAGGCAAGUGUGUUUGGCAAUUAUUUUUGGGAGCCCAUUUGGGAAAUGCUAGCAUUUGUAAGGCCUUGUAAAGGCCCUUAGCUCAAGGCUCCCUCUCCCCUGCUUUGGCUUUCUGGCAUUCUCGGCAUGCAACAGUACCUCAGUUAAUGAAUUUUUUGAAUUUCCAAUCUUACCCUCACUCGUUAACCAUAAUUCCACAUUUACCCCUUUUUAAUGUCAAAACCCUAAUCCCUCGCCUCUCUCUUCCCUCGCCUCGCGUCUCCUCUCUUCUCGCGUCUCUCUUCCCUCGCCUCUCUUCACUCGAUCGCUUGUCUAACGAAACACAGCCCUCUCGCCUCUGUUAUUCGCUGCACGAACGUUGAUCAGCCAGUGACAUUGCUCACCUGGUCACCUCCGGCCACUUGAUCGAUGGUCGUCGCCAGUCGCCUAGUCGACAGUUGCAUCAUCGCCUAGAUCUAUUGCUGUGAGGCUCGUCGAGGUCGCGGGACCCCGGCAUCACCGCACCUGGCGUGUAACGACGACUGGCCGAACCCCCCCUCUCUCUCUGGUGUGUCGCCAAUCGGGUUGGAGUCACAAAUUACAGCAAGAGUUCCCUAUCUCUCUGAUUGCUCACAGGUUGGACUCUCUCACCACCCAGCAUUCCAAGUUUUCCCAUUUUCCUUUUCGAUUAGGUUCGCGUGCUUUGAAAUUCUUGAAAAAGUUGGGGGAAAUUCUGGGCUGAGCUUGCUGAUUAGAGCGUAUUUGAGUCGGAGCAUUCGCGGGAUCCGUAUAGGAAAAGUAUGGUGGAAUGGUUUGGCUCAAAGCUGGGGGUGGCUUCUUGUGAAUUGCUUACCACGGCUCACGUGAGUUGAUUUGAAUCGAUUAGUUCAGUUCCCUUAUGAGCUUAUUAUUAAUUUUAUGUUGUCUGUAGAAAUAAGUUGUUAUCUUGAUCUUUCCUCGAAGUUAAAUAGGAUCUGUGCUACCAUUUUUAUUGAGCUGUUGAUAUUUUUCCACUAUUUCUUACUGGUUUUGAAGGGAAGAGAAGAUGACAAUAUAGAAACAAUAAAGAAAAUGUUUAAGGUGUUCUUAGAGUCUAGCCUUUUAGUUAUUGAGUAUUACAAUUCUAAGGGAAAAGUCAGAAUGGUGAGGAAAUCUCUAAAUAUGUUGAAAUUCUGUACAUUUAUUUGCCUGAUCUUAUUUCAUUUAAUUAUUUAUCUAUAUUGGCUUUUAUUCAGAUUGAUGCUGGAAAGCUUGUUGAAGAGGUCUUUGAGGUCGUUAAAGUAAUACAAUUUUUGCAUGUUGCGUUCCUGUGCAACUUUUUCUAACAUCAAUGUGUGCAUUUUUGUUUUUUUACGUCGUAAUUGACUCGUUCCCAAAUCCUCAAAGCCCUCACAUUUUCCUCAUCGAAAUCAAUGUUUCAUGGAUCUCCAUCCAUUCUCAAUCUUCAUAUUGCUUUUGUAGUUGAGCAUGCAUCAGCCUUUGGGGUUAUUAUUAAUAUGCAGGACCUCCUCAUGGAGGAUCACGAGUGAGAACUCGUUGAGGAAAGUGCUGAAAGGACAGAUAGUUCCUCUGUUAUUUCAAAUGUUACCUGUUCUCUUGUGCGGCUCUCUUUCCAUUGCUGACCAUGGUUUGAUUUUUAAAUAGGAUUUCCGGAGUAUUUGGGGUGGAGGUCGUGGCCUGUUUACGCUGGUGCUUGAAGUACCACAUCUCUUGGGAUAAAACUAGUGGUCUGCAGAUGCAUUCAAUACCAAAAUUUGGUUCCCUUCCCUGCGUUCAUGAUGCUGGUGUUGUUGUUCAGAGACCCAUUCCUUGGCAUUACAAUCAAAAUGCUAUCACAUCAAGCUGUAAUAUAUCACCGAGAAUAUUAACCUAUACCUUUUAGGCAGUCAUCCUACAGCAAAUUUAUGAGCCUCUGAUGCAAUAUGAAAAUGAUGAUAAGGCUGUAUUUUUAGAUUCGAUACUAGUCUAACUGGAUCUAAUGUUAUUGGAAAGAUUCUUUUGCUUGGUGGGAUUAAAGAAAGAUGGGAGAAGGAAAUUGCUUGGAUGGCUCUUCAAGGUAUCAACUCACCACUAGUUCAAGUCUCUGCGCAAUAUGUUGCUGGAAAGUGGAAAGGAUUGAGCAUAUGGUGAACACGAACAACAAUAUGCAAGUUGAAGUCUCGAAACAGAAAAAGUGAGACAGACAUUAAAUGUGGUUGUACUGAGUAACACUAUUGUAUAGUGACCAUUGCUAAAACAUGUUGGUUUCUACUUGAUUGGUGCUUUUUUUUUAUGAGGGAUUGCUCCUAAGACAUAUGGGUUGAUGCAUGUCAAUUGUACUAAAGAUUGUGGCUUUUAUUUUUCAAACUAAUAUGUUGAUGUAUGUUAAACACUUAUGUUGUUGCACAUCGAUUAAUGCAUAAAUGUGAUUUUUCGAGCAUCCGUUUCCUGUUAGAUGAUGACAUGAGAAUGUUGGCGGUUGCUAUCCCUUGGAAUCGUCCAAGAAUGUGCAUGAAAUAUUUAAGGAUAACAUUUUUUUUUCCUCAAAAUAUAUGUGGCCGUGCUUAUUAUAAUAAAAUUACUUUCUUUUUAAUUGCGAAAAAUCUACCUUAAUGUAUUUUUUGGUUUGUAAAUUUGUUAAUGUCUUUAAUACGUUAUUCUUAACACGCAAAUAUAAAAGUUACAACCAUUGUUUUUUCUUCAAUUUAAAAAAAAUGAAAAAAAAAAACUUAAAUUGGUCAUAGUAAAUGACUUUCCAAAUAUAUGUUUACCAAACAACAUUUCCCCAAAGCCACUUUCCAAGGCAUUUUUGAAUUAUAGUUUACCAAACAGUCUUUGCAUUUUACCAAACCUCUUUAGGCUAAAGGUCUUUGCAUUAUCUCAAAGGCUUUUCCCAAAAGUUGAACCAAACGCACCCUUAGUGUCGUGGGAACAAGUACAUACAUAAGGUUUGUUCGUCAGCUUUGUAAGUUCUGAUUUUUUUUUCUAAUUUCCUGGAAUAUAUCUUCCUUUAUGCAUUUUUUUUUUCCAAAAUGACCACUAUUUUUCUUGUCAUUCUUUACGUAGGAACUACUUACUGCCGGAGGUUCUAACAUCCCACAAAGCAUUCAUAAGGUUGUGGCACAUCUUGCCUGUCGCUUGCCACGGUGGACGACACGUGCGUGUACUUUUCAUCCGAUCUAAACUUGCAAAUGCCUUAUUGACCGACGGCAGUGUUUGCUGUCAACAAAUAAGGUGAACUUUGGUGCUCGCCUCAUGAAGGUCUCCUUCAACCUCAAAAAGAAGGGUGUUUCCAAUUCAAUUUACAAUUUGGCCUGUGCGCAUAAGUUCUCUAGAUGUUCACUGGUGAUGUUUGGAGUCAAACUCCAAGCAUUCUAUGUACUGGAAGUAGCAAGUUUGCCACAUUUCUGUAACAUGGCUACCCAUUCGUUCUGUCGACUUCCUCGUAAAAAAGGAGGAGAGUUAAAUCAAGCAAGCGAUAUAAGUGGGGAUAAGUACACUAAUGGUGCCAUAAGUUGUGUACGGCGCUCACUUUGGUGCCAAAAGUUUCCGUCGGAUCACUUAAGUGCCAAAAAAUUUGAAAAAUGCUCACUUUGGUGCCAACUCCGACGAAAUUGGCCGGAAAUCCGACGUGGCUUUUUUUUAUUAAUUUUUGACGCCGACAUGGCUCGUCGGAGAGUUGAGUCAGCAUCCAAACACCAAAACGACGCCGUUUGGUGUCUCCCCCAAUUCAAAACCCUAAUCUCCGGCCGUCGCCGUCCUCGACGGUCCUUGCGCUCGGCGGCCACGGCUUCGACCCCAACCUCGACGAUGACCACUCAACGGCAGUGGCUCCGACCUCGACCCCGACCCCGACCCCAACGAUGGCCACUCAGCGGCCGUAGCUCCGACCCCGACCUCAACCCCGACCGCGACGAUGGCCACUCGACGGCCGCGGCUCAAACCCCGACCCCGACCCCGACGAUGGCCACUCCACGGCCGUAGCUUCGACCCCGACCCCGACCCCGACCUCGAUGAUGGCCACUCGGCAGCCGCAGUUCGACCCCGACGCCGACCCCAACCCCGGCGACGGGCCACGGCUUCUACCCCCGUCGAAACCCCUAAUUUUCUUCCCCAUGUGAGCUAAACGGGCGUCAUUUCCAUUGAAGCCAUCCCACGUAGGAGGGCAAAACGACUUCUUUUCCUUAAAGAAUGACCGAAACAACGUCUUUAAAGGCUUAUCGAUUUUUUUUUAAAAAAAAAAAAAAUCCUUUUGGCCCGGAAUCUUUCGCCCGGAGGCGGGAAUUCUUUCGCCAGGGGGCCAAAGUGAGCGUUUUUCCUCUGAUUUGGCACUUAAGUGAUCCGACGGAACUUUUGGCACCAAAGUGAGCGCCGUACACAACUUAUGGCACCAUUAGUGUACUUAUCCCGAUAUAAGUGUGACUUUGCUAUUCAAUAGAUCAACAUCUCUACUAGCAAGUAAAAUGUCAUUUACAUAAAGUAAUAAGAAAACAUAUUUACUCACACUUACUUUCAUGUAGAUACAUCGAUCAAACUUGUUUUCUUCAAAACCAAAUGAUCUCACAACCUUGUGAAAUUUCAAAUACCACUAAUGUGAUGCUUCUUUAAGACCAUAGAUAGACCUCUGCAAUUUGCACACCACAUGCUCCUUUCUGGCUUUUUUAAAUCCUUCAGGUUGCUGUGCAUAUGCUUCUUCAUCCAGAUCUUCAUUUAGAAAUGUUGUCGUGACAUCCAUUUGGUGAAACUCUAAGUUAAAAUGAGCCACCAAUGCCAUGAUUAUCCGAAAUGAGUCUUUAGUGGACAUUGGAGAAAAGACUUCAAUAUAAUCAAUGCCUUUCUCUAUGUGUACCCCUGUGCGACUAACCUUGCCUUGAAUCUCUCUAUGUUUCCUUUAUUGUCUUUCUUGGUUUUGAAUACCCAUUUGUAGCCGAUCGGUUUAUGCCCAUUUGGCAAAUCAACAAGUGCCCAUACUUGAUUAGUUGACAUGGAAAUCCUCUCAUCCUUCAUCGCUCCUAACUAUUCAUCUACCUGAUCACUAUUAAGAGCUUCUUUGAAGGUUGUCGGAUUAACUAUAUUUUCAAUGUCAAAAUCAAUUUCUCCAAGAUAAACAUAAUAAUAAUUUAGAAGUGUUCAUCUUCUUUGUCGGAUUAACUAGAGCCGCAUCAUUCGUUUGGGGAAUUUCAUUUGUGAUAAGAGGAUUUACCAUCAUAUCUCAAAUAUAUGCUUCUUGCUGAAUUUCCACUUUGCAGGGCUCUUGCAUAGAAUCAUCAUUUAAGAUGGGCAAUGGAAUAGAGACCGUUUUAUUUGGUUCUUCCCUUUCGAAAGAUUGAUAAAAACUCUUUUUUGCAAUAUCCAAUUCUAAGAAUUUGGUAGUUUGGGCUUUAACGAUUCUAGUGCCACAAGUAGGAUAAUAGAAUUUAUACCCUUUGGAAUGGUCAAGGUAUCCAAUAAAGUAACAUCUAGUAGUCCUAAGUCCAGUCUUCUUUUGAGAAUGAUCAUAAAUUUUUACCUCUGCAAGGCACUCCCAAACUCGAAAAUGAUUCAAGCUUGGUUUCCUCCCUGUCCACAAUUCACAAGGUGUUUUCGGUAAUGGUUUACAAGUUACACAAUUCAAUAUAUAAGUUGCUGCUUUAAUUGCAUCACCCAAUAAGUAUUCAAGCAAAUUAGAACUGCCCAUCAUACUUUGUUUCAUCUUCAUGAGUGUGCAAUUGUGUUGUUCAGCUAUACCAUUAUGUUCAAAACUCAUAUGCAUUGUAUACUGAGCGACAAUACCAUAGUCCUACAAAUAUUUAGCAAACGGUCCCAUUUGUUGUCCAGUUUUGGUAUAUCACCCAUAAUAUUCACCACCUUGAUUAGAUCUGACAAUCUUGAUAAUUUUUCCUAAUUGUUUCUCAACUUCAGUGCGAAACACUUCAAACAUUUCAAGGGCAUCAGUCUUCUCCUUAAUUAGAUAAACAAAAUAAUAACGGGAGAAAUUAUCAAUGAAUGUGAUGAAGUACUUAUUUCCACAUAAGGUGGUUGAGUAUGGCCAACUAAUAUCCGUAUGAAUUAUCUCCAAUAGAUUUUGACUGCAAGUAGCGCAUUUCUUCUUGGUUUUAGUCAAUUUUCCCCUCACACAAUCAAUACAAGUCUCAAUAUCAUUUGAGUCAAGAGGAAGAAGAAUAUCAACAUCGAUGAGUGGCUUUACCCCUUCUUUGGAAAUAUGCUCUAAUCGCUUAUGCCAUAACAAUGGAGAUUUUUCUUUGAUUAAAGAUCUCUUAGCAACAUUAUUCUCGACAGUGAAAAAAUAAUAUGGUCUAUUGGGAGAUAAGGAUAAUUAAUAUAAUUCAUCAGAUAAAAUGCAAUUCCCAAUAAUUCUGAAAUCAUAAGUCAAAUCCACUCUUUUAUUUGCAAAAUAAAGAUAAUAUCCAGCUUUGUCAAGUGAAGAAAGAAAUAUUAAGUUUCUCCUAAAACCAAGAACAUAAAAGACAUUGUUCAAAAUAAGUUGAAACCCAUAAUCUAAAUUCAAAACAACUGUCCCUAUGCGCUCCACAUCAACUCCAAUAUUAUUUCCAACUUUAAGAUUUGACUCCCUUAUACUUGGAUUCCUUAGAUUUGUGAGACCUUGUAAAAUAAUAGUUACAUGAACAGCAGAACCAGAAUUAAUCCACCAAGAAUCCAAAGGAACAUCAACCAGAUUUGGUUCAAAACAAACUAACAACUCAUGUUGGUGACUUUCUUUUCUUGCUUUUAGCCAAGCUUGGAACGUAUAGCAAUUGGCUCUCUUGUGACUUUGCUUCUUGCAAUCAAAAUACUUGAAAUCCUUAUCUUUAUUUCUCCCAUGGUUCUCAUUUUUCUUGAAGUCUUGGCAUUUCUUUGGACCAUGAGCAUUGGACCCUUUAGGCUUCCAUUUUCAUCUAGAUGAACUUGAUUUGGUAUUGGCAAUUAAGUGGGCGGACUCAUACUUUUUCUUCUGUAACUUUUCUUCCUUAGUCACACAUUUGGUAAUUAAGGCAUUGAUACUCCAUGUCUCAUUCCGAGCACUAUAAGUAGUCUUAAUCAAGCUAAUUUUAGCUGGUAGAACAUUUAAGGCAUGAUGCACAAUAUAAUUUUCAGAAAAAGGACAAUUUCAUGGGCCUAAAGUUUGGACUGAAUGUAGACCAUCUUCAGUAUACAUUCUCUAACACCCAUAGUAGUAUCAUACUUCAUGUUCGUUAACUCACUCAGCAAGUUCCAACUUCAACCUUAUCUGAGACUAUAUCUUUUUCCCACUAUUUCAAGGCAUUGUCUCGUAUUUGUAUCUUCCGGCAAACUACUAAUGAGAUGCUCAGCAAUAGACCUCUUCAUAGCAAUGAGGAUUAGUUGGUUAGAUUUUUUCCAUCUAGCAUAAUGGGGCUUGGAAGGUUAGAUUUGAUCUGCGGUACUUUGAUCAUGGGGCUUGGAAGGUUCAUCCUCUCACGUAGAGUCAAGUCCAUAUUCACGAUACCCAAAGCAAACUCUAUAUCUUGCUUCCAUUUCUUGAUGUUUGAUCUAGUUAACAUUUCAAUCGUGGCAUUAUUGUUAUAUACAGUAAAUGUAACUGUUUGUCACACAUAAUGUAAUAAGAUCAAUUAUGACAAUAAACAAUUCAAUAAAAAUAAUUAGUACAUUAUAAACUCCCCCUUAGACAGAGUGUAUAAUUCGUCAUUAUUUUCCACAGCGUGAAAUUUAUAAAAUAACAACAAUGAGAAUUAUAUAUAAUUAUCAAGGAUCCAUCCCUUUGGGCAGACAAAUUCUUUAAAUUAUACAUUUUCAUUAUCACGACAUAGAGGAGAAUUACAUAUAAUUUUCAAAAAACUUAUCCCCUUUAGGUAGAUAAAUAUUUUUUACUUAUACAUCCCUAUUUAUUAAAUUGGGAAUUAAUCUUCAUGCAAUUUUUCAAAUUAAUAUACACAAUAACCCCUUUGGGCGAGUUAUUGUAUAUACUAAUUUUUAUCAAUAGAGAAUUCCAAAAUUUAUGCGCAAUAUUCAUCAAACAAUAUGAAGCACUUUACAACAUGUGCUUCCAAAGAUCAUAUUGCAUUUUAUCAAACAACAAUUUUUUUGCCACAAAUUUUAAUAUUUUUUCAAUUUUUAAUUUUAAUUUAAUUUAUUUAUUUAAGUUUCAGACCCUCCCACAAGGCCCAAACCUUCGCCCAACCCAAAGACUUGUAGGAGCCCAUGCCUUGUGCCAGUGGAAGAAUUGGGCUCACACCCAUGAAUUAAAAAAGUAAAAAUAAAAAUGGGCGCCCAAAACCUUUCUUUUCUUUGGUUCAUGGGCGUGAGCCCACAACCUUUAUAUGAUUCUUGGUUUUGGGCUCACACCCAUAACUCUUUUUUUCUUUUUCUUUUUAAAUAAAUUUGUAUAUCUGCAUGAGCCCAAUUUAUUGGCCCGGCUUAGCUAGAGGUCUUCUUCAACCUCCAACCGACACGAAACCUGCAAACUGGGUUAUAGGACUUGGUUUCAACUUGAACCUCAAAAAAUACAUAUAAUAGUUGAUUUUUGAUGAAUUUAUUUAUUUAUGGAUCUUACAUCUAAUAUCAAUAUAAUUGACUAAAAUUAAUUAAACGAAGAACAAAUGAAGGAAUUAACCCUAUUCAAGCUUCAAGAAAUUUCGGAUUUGAUAUCCAUGGUCACAAUUCGGAUUUCUCAAACAAUACCCAUGCAACGAUUUACAACAAACAUCAAUCAAUUGCAAAUAAUUUGAAAAUUCUAGAACUUUUUCAAGGUAUAAACCCUAGAAUGACAAAUUUUCACUCAAUUCUCAAUGAAACUAUACAAAAUAUAUAUGGUUGGAAUCUCGACAUGUAGAACAAAAACCCUAAGGUUUCAGGGUCAAUCAAUUAAAACAUCUACAAGAAAAAAUAAUGUUAAUAUUCGGCUCAAAGAGAAAAAUUUCGAAUUUGUUCAUAAAAAAAAAAAAAAAUUGGGUUCUACAAUCAUAUAUGACAUACUCUAAUACAAUAUGUAGAAAGUUAUUUACAUAAAUAAUUAAUUAAUCAAUAAUAAUUGGAUCCAUAUAUGACUAAAACAACAAAAUUAAUAAGCAUAAUGGAAUUAAAACGCACUUGUUUGAGCUAUCGUUUCACUUAAAGAAAAAUAGAUCAAUCUGAUAAUCAGAAAUUUAUUGAAAUGUCAGAUCUUCUUUUCUAUGACCUAUUUCAGUAUAGCAACUUUUUAUAGGAUUAAGCAAUCGAUAGGUAUAAUCUAUCACCCUUUUAUAGGCUAGAGAUGGGACCUAGCAAACCCUAAUCAAUAGCAUGUUAAUUGGGCUCCUCCCAUUACGAGCUUCGGUAAAACACAAUUGUCUACACUUUAGUACUCAACUAGGCCCGCUAUUAAUAGAUGCCAAAACCCAAUUAAAUAAAAUCACUUAAAGGUUUAACAAGUAUUGAAAUAUUCAUUAACCUGAUUAUUUAAAAUAGAAAAUCAAUUAAUUAAGGUAAGCUCAUAUUAUAUAAAAUUUCCAACAUAGAUUGCUUCUUUUUCAACAUUCUUAGAGUGCAUUUGGUUCAGCAUUCCUAAGGGGCUUUCAACCUCCAAAGCCCAUCGGGGAAAUGCUGGACUGUUUGGCAACCAUUUUGAAAUAGCUUUCAAGUGAAAGCUAAUAUUGAGAAUGCUGAAAGUUCAAUACUAGUAGAGACUAACUUUGAGCUUUUAGCAUCUGACAAAAUGCUGAAACUUAUUUUUUUCUUCUAAAACUAUUCUUACUCAUUAUUCAAAUUUUUUAUUUUUCCCUUGUUAUUAUUUUUUUAAAUGACAAAAUAAUGCUAAAAAAUCAUAUAUAUAUAUAUAUAUAUAUAUUGGUAUUUUAAAUUUUUUUAUAUAUUUGAUUUUUUUAGCAUUAUUGUCAAAAUUUAUAUUUAAAAAGAUGCAUACAUUAUUUUUUUUUCAAUUUUAAACAAUUAAAAAUUCCGACAACGGGUUUGGUCUUUUUAAAAAAAUUAUAUAUAUAUGUGUGUGUGUGUGUGUGUGUGUGUGUGUGUGUGUGUGUGUGUGUAUUUGAUUUCUUAGCAGUAUUUUCAAAUUUAUAUUUAAAAAUUCGCAUACAUUAUUUUUUUAAAUAUAUAUGUAUUUGAUUUUUUUAGUGUUAUUGUCAAAAUUUAUAUUUAAAAAGUUGCAUAUAUUAUUUUUUUCAAUUUUAAACAAUUGCAAAUUUAAAAAUUCUGAUGAAGGGCUUGGUCUUUUCAAAAAAAUUAUAUAUAUGUAUUUGAUUUUUUAGCAUUAUUUUCAAAAUUAUAUUUAAAAAGUUGCAUACAAUAUUUUUUUAAUUUAAAAAAAUAAAAAUUAAAAAAUUUCGACAAAGGAUUUGGUCUUUUUAAAAAAAAAUUAUAUAUGUAUUUGAUUUUUUUUUAGCAUUAUUGUGAAAAUUUAUAUUUAAAAAGUUGCAUAUAUCAUUUUUUUUCCAAUUUUAAGCAAAUAAAAAUUUAAAAAUUCCGAUGAAGGUUUUGGUCUUUUUUUAAAAAAAAUAAAAUAAUUAUAUAUGUAUUCGACUUUUUUAGUAUUAUUGUCAAAAUUUAUAUUGAAAAAGUUGCAAACACUACUUUUUUCAAUUUUAAACAAAUAAUAUUAGGAAAAAAAAACUAAUAUUAAUCACCCAAAGAGCUUUUUAAAUAUGUUUUCUACCAAACGACAUUUCUUUGAAUGUUGCUUCUGAAAGUAUAGUUUACCAAACGGUCUUUCCAUUUGCCUAAAGUUCUUUAAGCUAAAUUGCUUUGCAUUUUCCUAAUGGGCUUUCAAAAUGCUGAAUCCAACGCACCCUUAAUGUAGUUUCCCCUAGUGCGAUUACAUGAAAAUGUGUGAUUCUCCAUUCAGAGUAUAUUUUCCACUACAAAAUUGCCCAUCAACUUUGAGUUUCAAGAGGAGUACAAAGGAGAGAGCGGUAGCAAGUCAUAACCAAAUUAUGUAGGAGACUGUUUCGAAGAUCCGAGAUUAUGAUGAUUAUGAAGAAGUUUGGAAAUUUACCCGGCUUUGUUUUCUCUUUGAGUUCUUGCCUUGUUUCUAUAGCUGUUAGAAAGUAUAUGCAGGCUUGAAAGCAAAACAACAGGAGAGCUUGAGGCUCAUCGCUAUAAGCCUUGGGCCUUGCCUAGCCCACCGAUCUCUAGCGAGUGAUGAACAGAAGGCUUGCCAACCUCUAGCAAGCUCGAGCUCGACACUUGCCACUAGUUAGAUUGCAAAACAGCAAUGAGCGGGAGCCUCUGGCUAGCCAAUCUGGCAAGGCUAGGACCUAAUGAGCUCAAGGUUGCCCUUGCACUCAGGCCUUCACGCUCGCUGAUCUUUGCCAAGCAGCGAGCUCGAGGCAUGUCGCGUGCUGCUAGCUAGAUUGGCGAACCAAAUGCGAGCAUUAGCCCUUGGCUCACCAAUCUAGGAAGGCUAGAGCUCGGCGGCUGCUUGCCACUUGCAAAAUCGGCAAGCCAGUGGCAAGCGCAAGUCUUUGGCGUGGCUAGAGGCUAGCGAGUGAGUGGAAGUUGGCCUUUGGCCAAUUGCCAGCUGUUGCUGUGAUCGACGACCAACCAAAGAAGAAGAAGAAGAUAAAAAGAGAAAAGAAAACUAAAAUGUUGACACCUUGACCCAAUCAUUUGUUUAAUGCAUAGAAAAUUAGGGUUUAAUUUUUAACCCUUAUAAAAUAAGUUAAUUGCAUAGUAUAUAAUUUUAGUUGCAUUUAUUUUUAAUUUCUAUUUGCAUUGGACGGGUGAUAGAUGGGUUCGAAUUGGAGGUUCUGAGCUUUAAAUUGACAGGUUGAACUAAGCCCACGAAUGGAGUAAAUUGGCCCAAGCCCGUUUUCUUAUAUGAUAGGGAUUUUUCAAUAUCAUCGGAUAUGGCAAGUGUGAAAAAAUAAUGCGAGGUCAUCUUUGUAAGAUUUAGGAUUUGAGAAAAAUUCUAUCACAAUCUUGAAUCUUUAUCGAUAUGUGAUAAAAUUGGUGAAGAAACCCUAAUCCACUCACCUAUAAAUAGAUGCUACAUUUAAAAGGAAAAAGAGGAGGCCACAGAAUUCCAUACACGGCCACAGAAUUAAGAGAAAGGUGGGUCGGCAAUUUUGUUCUCAGAGGACUAGAGAAAAUACACCUGAGAACACAAGAGUGUGCGCUCGUGGCUGCCCCUUGUUAUUCCGUCGACCUUCUCCAACGAAGUUGCUGUCGAGUCUAAGAAGCAUCCUUGAUUGUGCGACGAGAUAUCCCCUAUUGCCUCCCAGUCAUUGUCGCCGCAUCUAGGUUUUGUACCACUCUUGAAAGAUCCAACCCAACUUAGAGCAAUUCAGAAGUCAAUGUAUAAAGGAGAGCUUGAUCGUUGAAGUCAGAAUUUUAAGGAUCCACUUUCUCAACGCACAAAUAUAGAGAAAGGAGGAGACUUUGAGGCGGUGGCCUUUGCCUUGUGGAGUUCAAACCGAAAGAGGCAAAAGAAGGUGUCGCUACUUUGCUGUUCGCAGGUCCAACUCCACGUUGCAGCCAUCGCCGUGCCAGUCUUUGUGUCCUGCGGCAUUCCCGACGUUCCAGGAGCACCCUCGAAGCUUUCCGUUGGUCUGGUUCAUGGGUGAUCGUCUCAUACUGGCCGCCUCUCCGCAACUUGCAGAAUUUCUAUUCCUUUUUUUCCGUAGGUUAUCUGAAGUUCUCGCUGAAUGCAUCGUGGGCAUCAUCGAGCGCCGCAAGCACCACGGCCGAGUCACUGUUCAGCCGUGAGUCUUGACGAGGUCUCGCUGCCCAUCCGUGAACCAUCACCGCUCGCCACCGUGAACCAUUGCCACCAUCCUCCAAUGAUGCCCACCAAUAGACGAUCUCUAGUGCCUAGCGAGUUUUACCACAAGCCAAGCGUCAUCGUUCCUUGAAUUCACAGUAUUCGUGUUUGCAGGUGUCUCCGUGAGCAUCGGUCAUCUCCCACGGCCGCCCCGACGUCCAUCUAGGGGCAAUUAAUCGAGUCAUCCAUUAGCAAGUCUUGAACCCGCCGCAAUCGCUUUGAUGAUUCUCUGAACAACUCAACUGACACUAGAUUCUUCAAUGGGCACAAGAGGGCCUUCCCAAUACAAAAGAAGCGGUGAAAUUUGUCCUGUAUUGCCCAAGCUUUUUUAGAAGGCAAAGCUUGAUAGAAAAGUAAAAAGAAGACAGAGAAAGGAUUACACCUGUUCCUAAUCGUCUUCAUGGGGAACCAAGUCUUUUUUUUUUCUGUGCAUAAUGUAUCUUAGACAUAAUAAAGUGGCUGGGUUUCGUGCAUUUAUCUCGUGAUUUGGGGUUGCAAUGCUCUCACGUUUUAAUCUUUUCGCUGGAUGGCAACACAGUUUUCAGCCACGUGAAGUCUCUGCCGUAAGACUGGGAGUUAGCCAUGCACCUCCUCACCGCCUCGUGAGCCAUCACCUGUCUCAAAUCAUCGAGCCAUCACCGUGAGUCCACCAUCUCGGCUGCUGUCCGAGCUGAACCACUGCAGCGACCCGUCCUCGAGCCAUGCCGAGCCUCCAUGGCGAUUCACAAGCCGUCGUUUGCUAAGCUCGAUUAGGAUGCCGAAAUUCGAAUUAGGUAGAUUUCUAUUUUAUUUUUAAAUAUCUUGUUUCUUUAGUUGAAAUAUUUCCUAAUGUAUGAUUGAAAUCCCUGUCGUUAUAUUCGCAACUCGCCGUCACAACGUGCAUACAAUUGACAAUUCGAUUUUCAUGCCCGAAAUCUGACUCGCAAUCGCGUGGAAAAAUCACCAAUCCGAUCUUACGCUUGAGAUUUGAUUCAUGAUUUGUUUAAAAUUGACCAAUCCGAUCCCAUACGCGGGAUAUAGUUUGUCAAUUUAUGGAUAUCGAUCCUAUCUUGCUUGAUUUGUUGUCGUGUCGUUUGAUCAAUUUUGCUUUCGUAAAAGAAAAUCCAAAAAAAAAUCUAAGAUAGAUUAGGUUCUUUGCUUGUUUUAGGGCUAUCUUGCAUAUUUAGAAUAGGAAAUUUAUUUCAAAUUUUGAAAAAUGAAAAAGAAAAAAAUCAACUUGGGAUUCUAGGUUUUUUAGAUUGCACGUUUAAUUAUGUGACAAUUUUAAUUUCGAAUUUCAUAGAAAAGAAAAAGAAAAAAACUAGAGUUAGGGCAUUCUUUGCACGCCAUUGCAUAUUAUGAUAAGGUUGUAUGUUUAAAUUUUAUAAGUUUAGAUAAGUGUUUUUAGAUAGAUUGCAUUUUAGGAUAGGAAUUAUCGAGUUGAGAUAACAUCCUAAUUUAAAUUAACAUUUGGCCUAACCUAAUUCUUAAUGUAAGUUGGAUGAUAUAUUAAUAUGGAUAGAUAAUUUUCGCGAUUUUUCUAAUUUCGAAUUUCAUGGAAAAUACCAAAAAAAAAAAAUUGUCUUUGAGUAAAUUAAUUUCAUUCUCUAGGAUAGGUUGCAUGCUCAUUAAGAAAACACAAAUAUAGCUUAGGUCAUAUUGCCAUGUCAUAUCAUUUCAUGUUAGAUUAGUAGCAUGCAUUGCAUAAAGCAUGAUUCUCAUUAAAUAAGUUAAAAAAAACAAAAAAAGAAAAAGAAAUUGUGUGUUAAUUAGAAAUCAUAUCUAGGACUGUCGAUAUGAAUUCUGAUCUAACACUACAGAUGCUUUUGAUGCUAUGAGAUAAGUCCUGCAAUUGAUUUAUUACUUUUUUUGGAUGUUAAAUUGGUGGUUUGCGCACAUGCAUGAUAACCUCACAUGUUAGGGAAAUAAAUAAAAUCAAUUCAAGCUGCUUGCCAAAUAUUUCUUCAAAAUAAAAGAGAAAUGUACCGAAAUUGCAUUAGAGAAAUCUAGCGUAAUCAAGUCUCCAAACUCAUAAUCUCUGGUUCGUAGGAGUAAAAUAAAUCUCUCGUUACUUUACUUGGGUUUCUAAUCGAUCCACCAAAAAUAGAUUAGUGGCGACUCCUAGUUAAAAAUCAAUUGUAUGUUAAGAGCUUGAACACCUAAGUUGCGAAUUGGUAUGGGCUUGAGAGAGCGCGAGCUAAGUCUAGGCCUAGCAAUCUAUUAGCUAAACCCUAGGUGGUGCACCCGAAAUUUAGGUCGCAACAUAAAAAAAGAAAAUAAAAAUAAAACUUGAUUUUAAAAAUAAUUUAAAGUUGAUUUUAGAAAAUAAAAAAAAAGUGCAUAAAGAAAAAAAAAUCCUUACCCAAUGGCAAAAAGCACUCUCUACUUCAUUUUAAUGUAUUAGACGAACAUAAAAAAAAUAAUGAUAAUUUCCCGAAAAAUAUUUUUUAGGAAUGUUGUAUUUUUGGCAAAACAAAUGGAGCGUUGAUAGAAAAGGGAGAGACUUGGCUUUGUUUUUCCUUUUGGCCAAUCAUUCAAUAUGAAGUUAUCCCACUUCUCCACCCCAAUGUCCAAAUUUAAGGUAGCAAGCAUUAAAUCAGGGCCAGUCCGGUUGAAAAAAAGAUUAUUAGAAAAUUAAAUAAUUAUUAGUAAAGCAAAAAAACUCAUUAUACAAAUAUCACUUCAAUUUUGAAUUUAAAAUUUCUUCAUUAGGCUUAUUAUUUUUUUUUAGUAGAUUUCUAGUGUAGUACUUCCACCCCAUUAUCGCUAGCAAUCGCCGAUGUUGCGAUUUAUAAGACCAAUAAGGCCAAGAAGCCUCAUCGAUGUCUAAAAUUAUUGAAUGAAAUUUGAAUGUCACUGAUUUCGUUGCAUGUACGUUUUAUUCUCUGUUGAACUUUUGCGUACGUGAGUGGGUUCUUGGUUAGAGUAGCAAUGCACGUCGUAUGGGAACAAGCCCCACGCGAUCAAAUGCGUGAACAAAUGUACUGCUGCUCAGUGCUCAGGAGAGUCCCACCCGCCAUCACAUGCUGAUGAAAAUACUGACAUACGGCCUUUAUUUAUGAGGAGAGCUCACGUCUGUGAAAAGGAGCGAUCGCAUUAACAAAGCCGCGUCUUAAGAGCUCGUGUAAUAUUCUCUCUAAAGCGUCCGUGUCCUCGAGACGAACGUGAGCUCUCCUGUCAUGAAGUCGACCCUUCACACUCGCACGUAAUCAAACUAGCCUCCUGCUGGUCCCCCACGGUUCAACUUCUUUCCAAAAAGAGUGAUUAUUCGUACGUAGAAACCGGUUCAAACCGACCCAAAAAAACCUGGUCAAAACCGAUAUUCUUCCUUUCUCUUCUUGGAAGGGGCCAAUCACGUGCUAUUAGCAGUCCUCAGACAAAUGAUACCAAACCAUUGUUUUACUUUGCGUUCAUUUACAUUUUCAGGGUACUUCAUGUAUGUUAAAAUGAGAGCCGUAGGCACGUAGACAUAUGUGGUGCAACAUGUCGUUCUAUAUUCAAGCUAGCAAAUGCGCAUUCUCAACCUGAACGAACAGCUUCAAAUAGAAAAAAAUUUCUAUGCGAGCUCGAAUUUAAUAUGGAGGGAUUCAAAAAAUCGGUUCAUUACUUAGUUCAGUACAACUUUAAAGAAUUGGAUGCUCUAAGGUGAGGAUCAAAUUAAAAGCUCAACACCGGCUAUCUUUUUAGCAUAUAACAUCAAAUAAGAAAAUCACGCGCCAUGACGAUGUAAUUCUUUCUAGUAACAAUCCAUAAAAGCGAGAAACUAUCGAAAGAAUUGUAUAACGAGCAUUUUAUUUAUAUUAAACCUUCGGAAGGAACUCAUCCAUGAAAAAUAUACUUUCUUUAUAAAUAUAAUGAAGUGUUGACACGUAAAUUCAAAUUAAAUUUUUAAAAAAUUUUGAAUAAUAUUCCAAACUUUGACAUGCAUUUUCACUUUUGUUUAAGCAAAGUGGCGCCAUCACGUGCGCAUGCUUGAAGCGCUCCCAGCCCCUACGAUCGAUCCCCAACACCGAUUACGAGGUAUGUGGUUUUUCUACUAGAUGCUCGAUUUUGCAAUUGCGUUAAGCAAAAUCUCUCCCAAUUCUCCAUUGUCAGUAACGAAGCGGUCUUAAUUCCUUAUUAGUGAGAUAAGUGUGAGAUAGCUUUUGAGUUGGCUAACUUGGUUCGAGCCCUUGUUUUCAUCUUUCAAUAUCAUCCCCGACAUAAGGAAAGAGGGAUGUGAUUGACAUUUCUAUACGUUCGGAACAGGCUGGGCCUAUCUAAAAGCUGAACAGACCCCUCAUUUUUCUCGGCAAUAAUAUCCUAAAUUACUAAUGAUUCAUUUGAAUUAUUAUAGCGUGCAUUGUGCCGGAUGUUCGAGCUUUAGAGUUAUAAUGUGACAUGAGAAUGAAAACCCGCCUCACGAUUCAUCAGUGCUCGAAUGUCUAAUGAAGAAAGCGAGUAAUCGCAAAUCUUUUUCAAGGGGGAUCGGUCAUUAUAUUUAUAGUAAAUAUCGUCACAUCGAGACGGGAGAAUUACUUUAUCAUGAGUUUUAGCUGGAUGCAAUCCAUAAUAUUAAUUGGGGUCUCCUCUUUUCUUUCAUCCUUUCGGCUCACAUGAGAAAAUCUGCAAUUAAAAAAGAAAAGAAAAACUUGGAAAGGAAAAUGUUUUCGCUACGCUAUCAUUGGGCACGGACUACACACUGCAUGCGGCCAAACGUGACGCAACGGAGCAACGAGACAAGCGAGUCACAGAAUGCUGCCAAGUCGGUUGGAUCGGGGACCGAGUUGCUCACUGAGCCAACCCAACGCGUCCGGCGUCCUCCUCUCCUCCCACUUACGCAUUCUUCUGUCUCCUACUCUUUUCGCUCUCCCAACUGUCUAAAAUCAUGCUUUCGGCAACAUUUUGAAGGCAAAAGGGGGGCCGGGGUUACAGCACGAGGGUCAUUUUGCACUCUCCAUGCGGGGCAUUUGAAUGAGCUUUGAAACCACCCGAUUCUUGGUGAGGUUACACCUUAACCAAUACCAAUGCCAAGGAUCCAAGGGCUGUCUCCUCGAAAGAGUUGGGAUCCAUCGCUCUCUCAAAGUGUCCUCAUGCUCGGUCUCAGCGGGAUGGUUUUGGUUCAUCUAGGACCAAAACCCCCCUCCCCUUCCUUUUUCCUCUUCCCCUCUCCCAUGUUUUCGCGAAUCCCUCUCUCUCACAUCGCCCACAGCCGUUGUUUACCGCUUGUAGAUCCAUCGUCCAUCCGCUUGCGGACAUAGUUUUCUCGACAUCCACGCGAUUCCUAGACGUAACGAAUUAUCGUUUUGUCAUUGAGUGUCUUCAAAUCACUUCUUAAGCAACUAAUAAUUAUCAACGAAUUCAUUUCUUCUCGAUACCCCAUCAUUAUUUAUUAAUGCUAAGGAGAGCGGUAUAAUCUCGCUAAAUUAUGCAUAUCGAUUCGCCGGAAUAGUGCACUUGGCUUGCUCUGGUCCAAAACAUGAUCAAUUGUUUAAGCUCUUGGAGCCGCCACAAUCCAGUAGGUUGUGAGCAGGAGACUGUUCCUAGACCGAACUCUGAUAGAAAGACGCAUCACUUUCGAUGAUUGAUUGCCAGUAUUGCAGAGCAGGCUUCCCACGACAUUUCCCCAACUUAAAGACGCCAUUCAUUCUUAGAAUGCACACGUUUCGAAGGCCCGUGACUCCCUAUCUUUUGAGCUUCGGUUUCCGAGGGAUGACUAUGUUGCCCGGUUUCGGCCCGUAGUGCUUUGUCCAUUCUUCUGAUUAUUUUUUCACAGCAAAAGGAAUUCGAGUACCGUUCUCUCACUUGCGAAGAAAGGAAUGGGACAAUGCUUGGUGGGCAACCACCCUAAGGAGAAUCCGUCCGACCCUUCCUCUAUGAAGAAAGUAACGAGCGAGAAUAAGUCCAAAGAAAUCUUCAAACACCCCUCUCCUCUCCUCUCACCUCAUAAAGAAAAAAGGACACAAAAAGGACCCAUGCCCAUUGCUCCCAGCUCACGACGUCUACCCUUUUCCAUGUUGUGAUGCAAAAUGAGUCUUGUUUGUUAUCUCUUUUAUGUCUUCAACCCUUUCUUGUUACCUAGAAGGGAUUCACCAACUGCCCAUGCCAUAGGGAGACGAUGAAAAGAGACCAAAAGAAGAACUGGGUGGGUGGGACACCAUCCUUCAUUACACCAUAAUUAUUGAAUGAAAUUUGAAUGUCACUGAUUUCGUUGCAUGUACGUUUUAUUCUCUGUUGAACUUUUGCGUACGUGAGUGGGUUCUUGGUUAGAGUAACGAUGCACAUGGUAUGGGAACAAGCCCCACGCGAUCAAAUGUGUGAGCAAAUGUACUGCUGCUCAGGAGAGCCCCACCCGCCAUCACAUGCCGAUGAAAAUGACAUACGGCCUUUAUAUAGGAGGAGAACUCACGUCUGUGAAAAGUGAGCGAUCGCAUUAACAAGCGGCGUCUUAAGAGCUCGUGUAAUAUUCUCUCUAAAGCGUCCGUGUCCUCGAGAAGGACGUGAGCUCUCCUGCCCAGCACACUCUCUGCUUCUGCUCUUCUCCAUCCCAGCACACUUCUGUCCUUAAUAUGGAUACAGGUGCCCGCCUACUUCAACGAUUUAAUCUUCUUGUUGCUGCCCAGCGUGCACGUCAAGAAAAUGAAUUCAACUUGGGUCUCACGUAAGUAGUGCGAUUGUUUUUUAUCGCCAAUUUUUUUUGUCUCUUAUGUAUAUUUUAUUGUCUUCAGACUUCAAGAACGGCGAGACUAUGUGCGACGAUACAACCUGGCAGAACGACGUCUGAACGCCCUCCUUGAUAACAUAAGGGGAGAGGAACUUUUGGUCCUCUCUUCGCAAGCCCAAGCCACAGCAUUCUUAUCAUUGUGGGGGAGACUUGAGCGAAAUCGCGGUGAGUUGCGACGCGUCCAAAUUCGUAUCGGCAACGCGGCAGCCCGGGAGCAGAUGCGCCUCCAACUAGAAAAUCAUGCUUUCGCGCUUGAGGACACCGACAUGUAUUUCCGCCUACCGCCCCCGCCCCCACCCUCACCAGAGCCACCAGCCCAAUAAGGCCAAGAAGCCUCAUCGAUGUCUAAAAUUAUUGAAAGAAAUUUGAAUGUCACUGAUUUCGUUGCAUGCACGUGUUAUUCUCUGUUGAACUUUUGCGUACGUGAGUGGGUUCUUGGUUAGAGUAGCGAUGCACAUCGUACGGGAACAAGCCCCACGCGAUCAAAUGCGUGAACAAAUGUACUGCUGCUCAGGAGAGUUCCACCCGCCAUCACAUGCCGAUGGAAAUACUGACAUACGGCCUUUAUUUAGGAGGAGAACUCACGUCUGUGAAAAGUGAGCAAUCGCAUUAACAAGCGGCGUCUUAGAAGCUCGUGUAAUAUUCUCUCUAAAGCGUCCGUGUCCUCGAGACGGACGUGAGCUCUCCUGUCAUGAAGUCGACCCUUCGCACUCGCACGUAAUCAAACUAGCCUCCUGCUGGUCCCCCACGGUUCAACUUCUUUCCAAAAAGAGUGAUUAUUCGUACGUAGAAACCGGUUCAAACCGACCCAAAAAAACCUGGUCAAAACCGAUAUUCUUCCUUUCUCUUCUUGAAAGGAGACAAUCACGUGCUAUUAGCAGUCCUCAGACGAAUGAUACCAAACCAUUGUUUUACUUUGCGUUCAUUUAUAUUUUCAGGGUACUUCAUGUAUGUUAAAAUGAGAGCCGUACGCACGGAGACAUAUGUGGUGCAACAUGUCGUUCUAUAUUCAAGCUAGCAAAUGCACAUUCUCAACCUGAACGAGCAGCUUCAACUAAAAUUUUUUUUCUAUGCGAGCCCAAAUUUAAUAUGGAGGGAUUCGAAAAAUCAGUUCAUUACCCGGUUCGGUGCAACUUUAAAGAAUUGGAUGCUCUAAGGUUAGGAUCUAAUUAAAAGCUCAACACCGGCUAUCUUUUUAACAUAUAACAUCAAAUAAGAAAAUCACGCGCCAUGACAACAUAAUUCUCUCUAAUAACAAUCCAUAAAAGCUAGAAACUAUCGAAAGAAUUGUAUGAUGAGCAUUGUAUUUAUAUUAAGCCUUCGGAAGGAACUCAUCCAUGACAAACAUACUUUCUUUGUAAAUAUAAUGAAGUGUUGACAAGUAAAUUCAAAUAUACUUUUUAAAAAAUAUUGAAUGAUUUUCCAAAGUUUAACAUGCAUUUUCAUUUUUUUUUAAGCAAAGUGGCGCCACCACGUGCGCAUGCUUGAAGCGCCCCCAGCCCCUACGAUCGAUCCCCAACACCGAUUACGAGGUAUGUGGUUUGUUUACUAAAUGCUCAAUUUUGCAAUUGCGUUAAGCAGAAUCUCUCCUAAUUCUCCAUAGCCAAUAACAAAGCGGUCUUAAUUACUUAUUAGUGAGAUACGUGUGAGAUGGCUUUUGAGUUGGUUAACUUGGUCCGAGCCCUUGUUUUCAUCUUUCAAUAUCAUCCCCGACAUAAGGAAAGAGGGAUGUGAUUGCUAAUUCUGUACGUUCGGAACAUGCGGCCUAUCAAAAAGCUGAACACAACCCUCAUUUUUCUUGGCGGUAAUAUCCUAAAUUACUAAUGACUCAUUUGAAUUAUUAUAGCGUGCAUUGUGUCGGAUGUUCGAGUUUUAGAGUUAUACUUUGACGUGAGAAUGAAAACCCGCCUCACGAUUCAUCAGUGCUCGAAUGUCUAAUGAAGAAAGCGAGUAAUCGCAAAUCGGAUCGGUCAUUAUAUUUAUAGUAAAUUUCGUCUGUCACGCCCCGAUCUUCGGGCACGCGCCCAUCCCUUAACUAGUCGAUUUAUUUGUGAUGUCCCAGGAAGGUCGCCGACCCAUUCUUUUAUAUACGCAUGCGGAAGCUUAAUGAAAUCCCAAGACAAUCAAAUAAUGGGAUAGAAAAGUAGGAUCAUAUUUUUUAAAUGAAACCAAGACGAGUCUUUAUAGACAAACUGGUUAAUUGCUGUUGACACCUAAUAUUUCAGAAAAUAAUAAAAAAAAUAAAAAUUCGAUUUUGGAAAUAUAUCUUCAUUUCAAAAUUCAAAAAUUCAGUUUUUAUUUGAUUUUGGAGCAUUUUUAUUGUUGGAGUCGUUAAGUGAAUAUCUCGCUUGCAAAAACAACUUUGAGCGCUUUCACUAUAAAAUGCGAGGCUUCAAAAUCGAGUUCGGGGGGGCGACUUCUCUUCGUCGUGGAAAAUGAAAGCAAAAGAAAAAGUUAGUAGGGGUUCUCUCUUCGUCUCGGUCGAAGGAAGAAAAAGAGUACAAAUGUGGAAAAAGUGAAAAAGUGAAAAAGUGAGAGAGAGAAGGAGUUGACGUGAGCAAGGAAAAGAGGAAAAGUACAGUGGGAGAGAGAGAGGGGAUGUUCGACAGAGAGUGAGCAGAGAAAGAAACGAAAAGAAAAGAAAGAAAAAAGGAAAGAUGAACAACUGUUCAUCUUCUUCGUGAGUCCCCAUCCGAAGUCCCUGUUGCUCGCUCCUGCGCCCUGCACCGUCGCUGUUCCACCGGUCAUCUUUCCGCCGCUGCGCGUCCCCGUAAGCGCUGCCGCCCUCAGCGUCCAGCGACCGCACCUCCGCCGGAGCGCAACGCCAUCACCUCCACAUCCGCCCGACGAAGCCGCUGCCGUGUCGAUCCGAGCCUCACCAGAGCGACCACCUGAGCUGCAGCAGAUCCUCUCCGAACCACCCUCAGUCGGCCUCCGAGCACCACCGCGCCUCCGCCGCCGAGCCUCGCCGUGCCUCGCCUGUAGCCCGCAAAGCCGUGUCCGGUCGCCAGCCACUGCCGCGACGCCGUUGCCGCCCCUGAUCAGACCACGACUUGCGCCGCCCGAGCGACGACCCACAGGAGCCCGCGUUGCGACUCGAUUCCCCUACUUGCCGGACGCCGAGCCGUCGUUCCGUUCACGAUUGCCUGCUGCCAACUGCUGCACCGCCUCUGCUCCGCUUGACGCCGCGAGCAGCGACCUGCUCGUUUCCACUUGCAGCGCCACACGACGACCCGACACCGCGUCCUCCUCGCUGACCCCUCCCGGGCGACACCUGACGCCACCGCCUCGAGCUCUUGCCGCCGCUCCUGAUCCGAGCCUGCUGCCGUGCUCUUGACCCACCCUGUUGCCUCCCCUGUUGCAGGGCCUUAGGUAGUUUAUUUAUUUUUUAUUUUUUUAUUCAUUUCAUGUUAUGUUAGCUUGUUUUUUUUAAGUUUCAUUAUUUGAAUUGUAGUAUUGUAUGUUAAUAUUUGUAGACCUUGUAGACAUUAGGAGUUUUAUCCCAAAUUAAGGUAAUUAUUAAUUUGACCCGUAAGACGUCGGGUCAUUUUUUUAAUUACUUUAGUAUUUAGAAAUUUUGAUAUCAUUUCAAUUGUUAAAUUGUUAUAGAGUUAAAAUAAUUACUAAUUUAAUCCGUGAGACAAUGGAUUAUUUUUUCAGUUGUUUUAAUUCUUAUCUUUUUUUUUUUAAAUAGUUACUUGUUUGGAAAGAUUAAAAAAAAUAUAAAAAAAAUCAAAAAGUACAUAAAAUCUAAAUAUUGCACUAGAGCACUUAGGUUUAGUAAAUUAGACAGUAUUUUUAGGGUUAGUAAAUUAGAAUUGCAUUUAUAGGAUUAUAAUAUUUAGAUUAUAUUCUUAGAUGGGUGAUUUUUUGUUAGGGCUAAUUUUAAAUAAUGUUAGCAUGUCUUGAUUUUUUUAUAUAGCUUUUAAGAUAAGAUAUAGUUUAAGUUAAAUUGAUUCCUAAAAUAAAUUAGAAUAUUAUUCACUUUAGAUAGUUUAAUUAUUCUUUAUUAAUUUCGAAUUUCAAUAAAGAAAAUCAGAAAAAUAUUAGGUACAUGUUAGUUAAUUUGCAUAAUAGGUUUAAUUAGAAUUUGUUUAUUAGUAAAAUAUUGUCAUAUCUAGAACUUAGGUACUUAGGUCCAUACACAUUUCAUAUUAAAGCAACACACCUAGAUAUUUUUAGAUUAAGUCGAUUUUCAUUUAGUAAAACAAAAGAGGAACAAAAAAUGUUAUGCAUGCCAUAUGAGUUAUAGUUUAAUUUUUUUUAAUAAAAAGGAAAAUGCUAAAAGAUGAUCAUUGCACCAUUAAGUUACUUUCUUUUCAAUAAAAAACAUUAUGUUAUUAAAAAAAAAGAAAGAUCAUUUCCUUGGUUAGUUAAUAGGUUAAUUCAUAAUUAAUCUCAUAUCAUCAUCAUUUAGCAUAGGUUGCAUAUAUGCAUUAAGAAAAUGAAUCAUCAUAAAAAAAAAAAAAUCAUAAAAAAGCAUACCUGUAUAAAUACUAUGUCAUUCAUCCUAUAUCACGUAGCACAUGCAUAUUCAGAAUUAUAUAAAUUAAAUUGCAUACAUAUAGUGAUAAGUUUAAGUCAUACCAUAUGAAUUGCAUCUCACAUAUCAUUAAAGUAAAAUCCAUGCAUAUUAAAUUUAGAUUAAGAUUGCAUAUAAUUAACAUUUUUUUUUAAAAAAGAAAAAGAAAAAUUAGGUGUCAUGUCAUUUAGAAAUCAUGUUUAGGGCAUGCAUUUUUAUUAUCAUUUUUUAUUGAAUGUCAUUUUAUUGAUUGUGCAUCCGCAUGACCACUAUUUGCAUGUUAGUAGCUUAGGUUUAAAUUAAUCAACAUUGCCUGCAAAAUAUUUUUAAAAUUAAAAUAAAAGGUACGGAAAGGGCGUUAGACUAAUCUAGCGUAACCAUGUCCCCGGACCUAUUGAAUCUCUGGUUCGCAAUAGUAAAGUAUUCUCCCAUACUUUACUUGGGUUUCUAACCAGCCCUAAUUGGUUAGUGGCGGCUCCAAAUUGAAAUUGCAUGUUUAAAUGAAUUAAUUUCUAUCAAGUCGCGAUUGGUAGGACUUGGGAGGGUCAAUGUCAAGUCUUCGGACUUAAUAAUCCAUUAGCCUUCUUUAGGUAAUUUACCUUCAAAAAAUUCGGGAAGGUCGCGACAAUUACAAACUUAGGCUGUUUACAAAAUUGACGGUUAUCAUAAAGAGGACUGUCUUAACAUCCACUAGUCAGACUCAUUUGCCGAUUCUUUAGCCUACACCUUCCGAACUCCAGGAUUUCCAGUCCUUCACGAUCGUCAUCUAGGGACUUGAAAUAUUUUCCCCAAAUCGGAAUGAGACUAUGUCUCAGCAAGUUCUACCCCAUUAAGACUUGAUUAGGAAGCCAAUACGCCAUAAGGGCUGCCUAAGCACAACACAGGUUAAAGGGCUUACAUUGGCAUUAGUUCCUUCCUGCACAUCAGUUCAAUCAAUAAUAUUGAUAACUACAGCAAUUAAUCACAUUUCACCAAUCAGAUCGACUCAGCGAUCAAUCGACUUAAUCGAUUACAUGUCAUCAUGACCUUUUCCUGGUCGGUACAUUUAAUACUAUUUAUAAAGUCCGACCAUAAUCUAGGACUGCUCACCCAAAGCUGAAAAUAGAUAGCAUAGCUCGCCCAAAGCUGAUAAAUAUAAUAUACUAUGUAUAUGCUCGCUCAAAGUUGAUAGAUUAGGGCCCCCAGGCCAAUUUAGAAUAUUAUAUAUACGUGCUCACCCAAAGUUGAUAAUAAGGUAUAUUGCUCAACCAAAGUUGACACAUCGCCCGUAGGUUGAUAUAGUAUACCGGUAAAUUGCUCACCCAAAGCUGACAUAUUGCCCGUGAGCCGAUCUAGUAUACCACUCUCUCAUACAAUCAAUUCCAUCUUUUAUCAUUCUCGAUAAAUAGUCGUGUGUAAGUAUAUGGUUGGUCUUAGACAAAAUAUAAUAAUUUCAUUUACACAUAUCCCACCAAUUUCAACAGCCCAUUACAUAUUUUUGGCGCUGUAAACCGACGCCCGGUUAUUUUUCCAUUAAUAACCAAAAUCAGAUAAUUUAGGAAUAAAUCCUAAAUUCACAAUUAAUUCAAUUCAGCACAAAUUAACGCUCAAAUAAAUAAACGGACUGCACCAUGACAAUCAGUACGGAAUUUCGAUUGUCCGCCAUCUCAAUCUUAAUUUCCUAAAAUUAAUUAAUUAAUUAAUUUUGAAAAUUAAUAAUUAAUUACAAUAAAUUCAAUUUAGCUCAAAUUAGAGCUCACUUAAAUAAACGGACUUCACCAAGAUCAUCAGCAUAAAAUUCCGGUCACCGGCUAUCCCGAUCAAAAUUUCCGGAAAAUAAUAAAUAAUAAAAUUUAUUCCGAAAAUUAAAUAAAAUAAUAUUAUAUUAUAAUAAUACAAUAUAAAAAUAAUAUUAUAAAUUCGAAUUAAUUAAUUAAUUUAAAAUAAUUAAUUAAGGCUUAAACAAGAUUACUUUAAUCUAAACAUUUACUUAGCCUUAAUUAAUUAUCCACUAAACUAAUCACAUCCCUUAAUCCACUUAACAUUUAAAUAAAUUAAUCUAAUCACCUAAACCUACUUAGUUUAAUCUAAACACCCCUUAAACAUUAUUAACCUACUAAGCGGGAAUUAGUGAGUUAAACACACCCGAUUAACGAUCCGAGCGCCUCAAAUCGACGGGGAUGCUGAGGGGAUCGAUUCACUCCAAGACGGGCCUAGCUUCCGGGGUUGGGAAGUUGGCCAAAACGGGCCAAAUAGCCACUGCCAUACCCAUUUUUCUAGAUGCUGAUUAGGGCUGAUGGAGGGGGAGACGGUGGCUGGUUCGAGUCGGAAUGGGCAGAGGAGGACGACGGCAGCUUGGGUGGAGCAAACGGUGGCUUCGACGGGUCUCCGGUGGUGGCUAGCGACAAGGAGCAGUAGCUAGACGGAGGUGCGGGAGGCUCGGGGUCACACGAGCAGGGCGGAGCUGCAUGCGGGCUAGUCAGUCGUGCGAGCGAAGGGGGAUCGGCACGGUCGGAUGGGUGGCGCCGGCGCCGACGACGGGCGGCGGCGUUGAGUGACCGAGCGAGCGGCGAAGGGGCGUGCGGCGUGCGGGCUGGCCUGUUCUGAUCGCACUCCCUCCUCCUCUCUUUCCUCUCUCUCUCUCUUCCCAAGCUUGAAGAUGAUGUUGAUUGGUGCCCUUUUUGAGAUUAAAUCUCCACCCUCCACUUGUCAAGCUCUCAUCACUUGGCUCCAAAUAAGGUGACAUCACAUUCCACUAACUUCAAACCUCCCACAACAAUCUUCAAUGGGUCUAAUUCCAUCCUCCGCUGUGGCAUGAAAUCUUGUACACUUAAUUCAAUCAAUUCUCAAUCAAUUCCAUCCAAUUGAAGCUCAAUUAAAUUAACCCAUGUGUCCUCAACCUUCUUAUGACUUUUCCCCAUCAAAUGAUCCCACUUGCUUCCCAAAGAUUCGAUUAAAAACGGCCCUCUGACAAUCUCGAACAAAAACGACCUUACUUUGCUUUUCCGCCAAAAAUUUCGGUUUGUAGAAAAAUCUUUAGAGGGUCUGUUGCCGUUAUUAACAUCUUCGGUGUUUUGGAAGUUCAAGUUUGUUCGUCAGAUUUGAAGUCUGUUUUUAUUUUCUUUCUUUUCUGGAAUAUAUCUUCCAUUAAGCAUUUUUUUUUUCCAAAAGCACCACUAGUUUUCUUGUCAUUCUUUACGUAGGAACUGCUUGCUGCUGGAGGUUCUAACAUCCCACAAAGCAUUCAUGAGGUUUUGGCACAUCUAGCCCGUCGCUUGCCACUAUGGAUGACACAUGUGUAUACUUUUCGCCCGAUCUAUACUUGCAAUGCCUUAUUGACUGAUGGCAGUGUUUGCUGUCAACAAAUAAUGCGAAUCUUGAUGCCCGCCUCAUGAAGGUUCGAUCUCUAUCUACCUCAAAAAGAAUGCUACAAUUGAUUGAUUGGCUUGUGGACAUGGGUUCUAGGAGUGUGUUGGCUUGUCGCCGUUUUAGGUUAUUAGAGUGAAAUGGUCACUUCAUGCGAGAGAGGAAAUAGUAUUUGAGUGUGCAUGGACCUUGCUGGAAAGCGCACAAAAGAGGACAAGGGAAAUGAUUGAGGAACAAGAAGCAGUCCAGGGCGGGCUUUUUUCUAUCCAAGAUGUCAUGCGGAUUACAGUUCGUGAGUGGUUAUAGAUUUUCCUAUAGUUACAACAUCUUUUAACCUUUUCUCUUCUGAAUUUUAUGAGCUAUGACAUGUAGGUAUCGAGCAUAUAAUGAGCCAUAUCAUUGAUAAGAUCUCUGUUUUUGGUUAUUUAUAAGUUAUCAUUAGUUUUGUAGAUUGGUGGGUACAAUUAGUAGUUGUGAUACUUGGUGGUAGUGGCAUUUGAAAUUGCAACAACUAACUUAGAUGUUUUCUAACUGUAACUCCUUCUAGAAUUAUUCAUGUCGACUAGCAUUGUCAUACCACUGGUGAAUCUUUAUUUAUAAAACAAUGAUGCAGUUAGUCUUAUAAUAUGCUCGGUACUCAUCUUAGUCUAUUUUUUUUUUUUUUUUGUAUGGAUUAGUGCGGUGGAAGUAUUGUGAAAGUAUGAUAUGUUGCUUGUUCUCAUUCUUACAUGUAAGGUGUUUGCUCACAUUUUCCUAUUUUUAAUACUAUGAUAAGAGCCUCACUGUUACACACAAGCUAGGAGUUUUUGGAGGGUGUGGUCUUGUUCUAUCUAUCAUUAUUGGACCUUUUGGAAUCAAUGUCGGCGAAAUUUCAGGAUCAGAUGAGUCGCCGUAUAUACUUGCUCUAUUUUCUUGCUUCCUGCCCUUUCUAGGAGCUGCAUUGAUCGCAAUUGGUCUCUUUUACCUUGGCUUAGAGCAUCCCAUUGUUGAAGAGGAUGUUGAGGUUAGAAAGUUGGAGCAUUAGGAGCUGGUUCAAAAGUUUCAACAUGAAGCGGAAUCUCACGCCAAAGUUUGCGAAAAUGUCCCCCGAAAAAUUUACCUCCUACUGCUGCAGAUCUACUCCCAAAUGGUGCGGGUUAAACCCUCCUCAGCUGAAAACAUAACAUCAAAGUAUGUCCAAUGUGCGGAUGAUCUAUUGCUGCUCCAUGAGAUGUCGAGUAAGUCUAUGCAAUUCACAGCCUUGAUCUUUAGCCAUCAACUAAAUCUUUGCACUGAAUUGGACAUGGUCAUUGCAUAUGAAAGGUCGCUUGUGCAUAUACAACAAUCUACAUGAGCUCCGUGGCCAUUAGCAUUCUUCGGUACAUAAGGUGAACUUUUCGUCCAAUCUAAACUUGCAAAUGCCUUAUUGACCGACAACAUUGUUUGCUGUCAACAAAUAAGGUGAACUUUGAUGCCCGCCUCAUGAAGGUCUCCUUCUACCUAAAAAAGAAGGGCGUUUCCAAUUCAAUUUACAAUUUGGCUUGUGCGCAUAAGUUCUCUGGAUGUUCACUGGCAAUGUUUGGAGUCAAACUCCAAACUUGCUACUUCCAAACAUUCUACGUACUGGAAGUAGCAAGUUUGCCACAUUUCUAUAACAUGGCUACCCAUUCGUUCUGUCGACUUCCUCGUAAAAAAGGAGGAGAGUUAAAUCAAGCAAGCGAUGUAGGUGUGACUUUGCUACUUUGGCUAUUCAUGCAACAGAGUGCCCAGUUUUUUGGUUCCAUAGGUUCUGAUUAUAGUACUGUAGAUCCUCCUAUUAUCUUUUUCGAGUCCCAAAACUUGAGAUGCAUCAGGUUAUGCACUUGAUCAUUUCAUUCCCAUUUGAUGUUUUACCCUUCUAAUGUUGGAAAUUAGCAUGUGUUAAUCGGGUUUUGACAGUACUGUAAUCAAAUAUAAUUUUUAUACUUCCACAAUCCUUUAGUUUAGUUAACAGAAAACUUAUUACAUUGCAUCUGUCGUCAUUUUCUUGGUAAAAAAUUUAAUAUGAAAAUUAAUUAAAUUUAAUUUAAAACUAAAUUUAUUGAAAAUAUUUAAAAAUAAAAUUAAAAAAUUAAAAAAAUUAAAAAAAUUAAAAAAUUGACAAAAAAUUUAAAAAAAUUAAAACGGAGGCGGCUAAGGGCUAAAAUAUUUUUGUAAAUUUUGUAAAUUUAUUUUUUAAAAUGUUUUAAAUAAAUUUAUUUUUAAAUUUAAUUUAAAUAAUUUUUAUAUUAUAUUAAAAUUCAAUUUAUGCCAAAACGACGUCGUUUUUGCUGAUUUAAGAGUUCUAGUUUGGCGAACACUCAAAACGACGUCAUUUGGGGUGAAUUCAAGCCGACUCAGCUCUCCGGCGAGACACAUUAGCAAGAAAUAUUAAUAUUUUAAUGCCACGUAUGAUUUCCGGCCAACUUCGCCGGAGAUAGCACUCAAGUGUCCCACUUUUCUUAAAAUGUGAUGCUUAAGUAUACCUUUUAUAAGUUAUGACACUUAAGUAUCCAUUUUUGCCAAGUUAUGGCACUUGAAAGGUUCUUUUACCGUUUUCUAACUGUAACUCCUUCUAGAAUUAUUCAUGUCGACUAGCAUUGUCAUACCACUGGUGAAUCUUUAUAUAUAAAACAAUGAUGCAGUUAGUCUUAUAAUAUGCUCGGUACUCAUCUUAGUCUAUUUUUUUUUUUUUUUUUGUAUGGAUUAGUGCGGUGGAAGUAUUGUGAAAGUAUGAUAUGUUGCUUGUUCUCAUUCUUACAUGUAAGGUGUUUGCUCAUUUAAGAGUUCUAGUUUGGCGAACACUCAAAACGACGUCAUUUGGGGUGAAUUCAAGCCGACUCAGCUCUCCGGCGAGACACAUUAGCAAGAAAUAUUAAUAUUUUAAUGCCACGUAUGAUUUCCGGCCAACUUCGCCGGAGAUAGCACUCAAGUGUCCCACUUUUCUUAAAAUGUGAUGCUUAAGUAUACCUUUCGUAAGUUAUGACACUUAAGUAUCCAUUUUUGCCAAGUUAUGGCACUUAAAAGGUUCUUUUACCGUUUUCUAACUGUAACUCCUUCUAGAAUUAUUCAUGUCGACUAGCAUUGUCAUACCACUGGUGAAUCUUUAUAUAUAAAACAAUGAUGCAGUUAGUCUUAUAAUAUGCUCGGUACUCAUCUUAGUCUAUUUUUUUUUUUUUUUUGUAUGGAUUAGUGCGGUGGAAGUAUUGUGAAAGUAUGAUAUGUUGCUUGUUCUCAUUCUUACAUGUAAGGUGUUUGCUCACAUUUUUCUAUUUUUAAUACUAGGAUAAGAGCCUCACUGUUACACACAAGCUAGUAGUUUUUAGAGGGUGUGGUCUUGUCGUAUCUAUCAGGGGUGUAAACGGUUCGGUUCGGUUCGGUUCGGUUUUUCAAAAAAACCGACCCGAACUGAACCGUUAGAAAAAUCUUCCGAACCGAAACCGAAACCGAACCGAACCGAAAUAUCGGUUCGGUUCGGUUUUUCGGUUUUUCGGUUUUCGGUUUUUAGCCUUUGGUUUUUGAUUUUUGUUUUUUGUUUUUUUUUUUUCUGUUAAACUUAGAUUUCUCCACUUUUAUUUCUUUAUUUGUAUUUGUUGGUUCGGUUCGGUUCGGUUAACUGAUAAAAACCGAACCGAACCGAAAAUUUUCGGUUUUUAAUGAAAUCGAACCAAAUGAAAACCGAACCGAAAAAACCGAAUUUUUCGGUUCGGUUCGGUUCGGUUCAGUUUUUGGUUUGGGAACUGACAGCCUUAUCUAUCAUCACUGGACCUUUUGGAAUCAAUGUCGGUGGAAUUCGAAGAUCAGAUGAGUCGCCGUAUGUACUUGCUCCAUUUUCUUGCUUCUUGCCCUUUCUGGGAGCCGCAUUGAUUGCAAUUGGUCUCUUUUACCUUGGCUUAGAGCAUCCCAUUGUUGAAGAGGAUGUUGAGGUCAGAAAGUUGGAGCUUCAGGAGCUGGUUCAAAAGUUUCAACAUGAAGCAAAAUCUCACACCCAAGUUUGCGAAAAUGUCCCUUGAAAGAAUGUACCUCAUACUGCUGUAGAUCUACUCCUAAAUGGUGCGGGUUAUACCCUAUUCAGCCGAAAAUAUAGCAUCAAAGUAUGCCCAAUGUGUGGAUGAUCUACUGCUGCUCCAUGAGAUAUCAAAUAUGUCUAUGCAAUUCACAGCCCUGAUCUUUAGCCAUCAACUAAAUCUUUGCAUUGGAUUGGACAUGGUCAUCACAUAUGAAAGGUUGCUUGUGCAUAUACAAAAAUCAGCAUGAGCUCUACGACCAUUAGCAUUCUUCGGUACAUAAAUUUGUAGUUAUUGUGAGUGCCAAUCUAUUCUUUUGCACAUACGAACAGCUUAUAGUCCUUUAGUCCGGGUCCAAUGCACGAUUGCAGGGUUAAACCGUUAGUAGUAUGUUAAAGUACAAUUCUUCAAUCCCAGUGGUUGAACCCGUGAAUGUUCUCUAUGCUGUUACGACAAUCCUUAGUUGCAUUGAAAAUUUAUACAAACUGAUCAUUCUCAACGCUUCCAAGUGAAAUAUAGAUGUCUGCAGCGCCAUGGCUUCAUCAUCUUGCUCUUGGUGCUAAGCCAACCAGCUUGUCAAACAACUUAGAAUAAUCAGAUAUUUCAUGUUCUCCAAUACUCACCAUUUUUUCAUCUGUUAUAAUAUGAAGAGGUUCUUGCUUCCCGGUUCGACUUCAAUUUAUUUUGUUAUGCCGGGAUCAUGAUCAGAGACGAACCACAAAUGAAGACUGUUUCAAAGAUCCGAGAUUAUGCUGAUUGUGAAGAAGUUUGGAAAUUUAUCUGACUUUGUUUUCUCUUUGAGUUCUUGUCUUUUGUUUCUAUAGCUGUUAGAUAGUAUAUGCAGACUUGAAAGUGAAACAAUAGGCGAUCCGAGGCUCGCCACUAGCCAGAUCGGCGAACCAGCAAGCAUGAGCCUCUAGCUUGCCCAUUUGGCGAGCCUAGAGGCCAAAGGUCGGCGAGCUCGAGGCUCGCCCUUGCUCUUAGGCCUUCACACUUGCCGAGCUUUGGCGAGUGGUGAGUUCAAGGCACGUUGCUCGCUGCUAGCUAGAUUGGUGAACUAGCUGUGAGCGUGAGCCUCUGGCUCAAUAAUCUACUAAGGCUAGAGGCCAGUGUGCCAGCAGAAGCUGGCCUUUGGCCAGCCGUAGGCCAUUGCUAGGGCCGGCAACUGGCCAAAAAAGAAAAAAGAAAAAGAAAAAUUAUUUUAAAAAAAUCAAUUUAAAAAAUAACUUAAAAAUUGAUUUUAGAAAAUAACAUGAUAACAAAUUUAUUAAAAAAAAAGGUGCAUAGAGAAAAAAAUUUCCCUCUCGAACAGUGAAAAAUACUUUCAUGUGUUAGAUGAACAUUGGAAAAUAAUGACAUUUUCCUAAAAAAGGGCUUUUUGGAAAUUUUCAGGAAAAAUGUUGUUUUAAACGAAACCUUGGUAGAAAAGGGAAAGACUUGGUUUUGUUUUAUGUUUUUUUUUUUUUUUAAAUUAUCAUUAUCGGCCAAGCAUUCAAUAUGAACUUAUCCCACUUCUCCACUCCAAUGUCCAAACUUAAGGUAGCAGUCAUUAAAUCGGGACCCUAGUGAGGUUGAACAAAAAUUAAUAAAGAGAACAUUUUAAAUAAUUAUUAGUUCAGCCAUAAACUUAUUAUAUAAACAUCACUUCCAUUUUAAAUUUUUUCAACAUUAGUCUUAUUUUUUUAUGUAGAAUUUCAGUGUAAUGCUUCGACUCGAUUAACGCUAGAAAACACUGAUAUUGCAAUUCAUGAGCAGGGCGUUACGUUGGGUGGUUGAUAAUGAUUCGACACCAUCGCAUGAGUGGAUUUUGGCGGAAAUUAGUCGGAGGGACCAUGUGGAAAUUUUUGCACAAAUGUUUAGGGACUUUAUUAAUAAAAUUGAAAGGUCUAAGAUUGAUCCGUACAAUAAAUUUAUUAUUAAAUUGAUAACUAUAUCUAGAAAGAUUCAUAUUAGGCUCUCGGGAUACAUAGGGACUAAAAAUGCAACAAAAAAUAAAAAGAAAAAGAAAAAAAGAGAAAAAAAAAAAGUCAAUUCGAUGAGCAAUAUCAUCAUCAAGCAGUCACUUUAAAAGCUACUCAUUACAGAAGAAAAUGAAACCAAAUGGAGCUGAAAGAAAAAUAAAAGCUGGGCAUUUAGAAUUUCCAACACGUGAAUGGCGGAGGAAUAGCGUGUUUGACAGUCGAGUGUUGAUGCCGGAGUCCCAUUUUUUUUUUUUUUUUUUAGGAGUAGAUUCAUUCAUCUUGGAAAAUCAAACGUGCACCGGGGCUUCAGUACGUAACGUAGUUCUAAAAGGGCUUUGCGUCAUUGGGCUUUGGCGGCCCAGUCCGCAAUAAAAUUGGCUUCUCUCCUGCAGUGUCGAAUCCGGAGCUUUGAGAAUGGUGGGAUCAGUUCAGUGCACUCAGCCAGUUAAGACGCGAUCUCCGAAAGAGUCAAACUUUGACUCUGCACUGCAGCAACUAGUGUCAGACAGCACUAAAUUUGCUUUCUCUUUCCCUAUCUGCAAAAGGUGUUCUAGGGUAAUAAGAGUUAAACGCCUGCACCACCUCCACUUGCAAAGCUGAAGCAGCAUGAACGCCGCUGGAGAAACCGUCGAUGAGUCUUCCCAAGUGGUCUCGGCAGACGCGAGCCACCGCGCUGUCUUCUCUUCCCGUCGGAAAGGCCCCAUCAACAUGUACUUUCAGUGUUCCGAGCUCCGGUGGACUCCAAACCAGGUUCGAUCCAGUAAGUAUAUGCUGGGUUUUCCAAUACUGCAGACCCCAGAAGCACGAGAUUCUUGCGUUUACUAGUGCUGCGUCCACUAUCGUUGCAGGAUCUGGACGCUGAUUUCUGAAGACAAAGUGAUUGCGCGCUUUCCAUAUUUGCCAGAGGAGUGAGGCGAGAACCUCCAAGUCAGGUGAGUUUGCUCUGUUUUCUCUCAGAUCUGCAAGCGGAGCAUCGAUUCUUGGUAGACCAAAUACUGUUUGUCCAGGGGCAUGGUAGAAAUCGCUUGAUCUGUGUGUCGAUGCCGGAGUUAACUCCGGCAAUAACGAACCCUUUAACGUUGGCAGUUCCCGCCGGUCAACGAAAAUUAUCUGACCCUUUCUGCGGAGGUCCAGACCCAAACCCAAGAUGUGACUCAGUCAGACCAAACAAAAUGACGAGCCUGACCAAAGAUCUCAAGACCUGGCCCCUUAAUGCAUUUGUACUGAAAACGCUAAUGCAGUUUUUUUACUUUUCAGUAACGGCAGAGGAAAAUGUAACUGGAGAAGUUGUUCAGUUCAAUUUUUUCUCAGAUUUGCCUGCUUUCAGCAUCUGCAAUUUUUCCGAUAUUUCCAAUUGGGUCCGAGCCUUCAGUACAUGUAAAUCCAUGUGCAACGAGGCUUCUGUACUGCUUCGACUCCCUCGUGAUGCAAAACAACUGACUACUCUCGAUAUGAGAAAACAUGAUGUGCUAUCCGCCGUGUCCAAUGUCCGCCAGAUUUAACUUGCAUACAUGGUUCUAAGCUUCUCGCUCUCUUUCAUGCAUCAAUUUGCGCACAGAAUUUGCGACACAAUUGCCAGGACUCAAAAGAACCAUCCUUGUCCAUCAAGCAUCUAAAACAGAGGUUGCCCAAUUCGACUCUUAAUUCGGUGAAGAGCUAACGGUUGAAAACUGCUUCUUUCAGGGCAGAUACGAUGCAGAAGCACGAGCCUGGGAAGUUAGAAGCCAAUGUGACAGGUGGGGAAGUUUAAAGCGUGAUCCUUUCUGGGGCGUCUCCUGAUCUGACUUUCAGCCCAACUACCUCUCAAAACCAUGCUUCUGCUCCGCAAUAAAUUGACUUGCAGUUGGCUUUUCAUCACUCGUUUUUUAUCCAAAGAGGACAUAGAAAAAUCCUCUGAAACACCUACGGUUGCUGGGAGUUUUAUGAUGCAGAUUCGCCAUGGAUGAUGAACCUCUCCUCCGCACACCGGGACUCACAGAGAUGUCGACGGUCAGGAGAGAUUUCCCUUAGGUUUUCCUUGAUCUCAACCUCAGCGGCCUCGGCACCAUGCCAAGGCGGCAAUCCGCCCCGCACCUCAUAACCAACGAUGCUAUCAUCCCCAUAAUCACGACGCGGCACUCUUCUCCCUUUGUGAAUCUCAUAGCCAACUUGACCAAGAAGAGACGACUCGCCCACCACUCCCACUUGGCUCCUUCCCAACUCACCUUUCACAAGGAGAGCACCAUCGACGGGGAGGACUCCUGGCCGUCCCUUAAAUGGACCCCUCUGUUUGUCCAGCGGGCAUUGUGGUAUACUUGACGAGCGGGAGUUUCAAAGGCACACCCACGUUCAACCCGGUCGAACCUCUGUACUUCACCGUGGUCACUCUUUGCACGACUGGCUUUGGCCAUGUCGUCCCUGACACGGCGUUCACAAAGCUGUUCAGUUGUGCUUUCAUACUGGUGGGCAUUGGAUUUGUCGGUGUGCUGCUUAAUGGCAUGGUCACCUACAUCUGCGACUGGCUAGAGGCGGUUUUGCUGAGCACUGCGGGUCAAAACAAGUAAAAUGGGAUGUUCAGGACUUACAUGAUCGACAGAGAGAAGGGA
This 50954-nucleotide long non-coding RNA is filed under the name Eucalyptus grandis. RNAcentral's name for it is "long non-coding RNA (EGRA_LNC000273)". The record is from RNAcentral. Lineage: Eukaryota; Viridiplantae; Streptophyta; Magnoliopsida; Myrtales; Myrtaceae.